RNAcentral lists this long non-coding RNA (61794 nucleotides) under Lactuca sativa (garden lettuce). Its description in RNAcentral is "long non-coding RNA (LSAT_LNC005779)". The record is from RNAcentral. Lineage: Eukaryota; Viridiplantae; Streptophyta; Magnoliopsida; Asterales; Asteraceae.
UGUAACUUAAGUGACAUGUCUUAGAGAAGGUUUAAAACACUUGUCAAAUGUAAGAGUAAAAGUUUUCUACUCUUGUACAUUUGAAAUUGGUAAGUUGUGAUGUUUUGGAUAAAACAAAGACCAACUAAGGCCAAUUGUGUGAAGUGUUUGUCUUGAUUAGAAUCCACACUAUCUCUUGAAUAUCUGACAAGAAAGUCUUAUAUGUCAAGAGGAAAGUGGGAGUCUUAAAGGUCUUGAAAGUCUCAAGAACUAAUCAAGAAUAAAACCUGAAGUUCUUCACUAGCACACGACUUGAGGUUUAUAACCUAUCGUGUUGACAUACUCUGUGUCCAUUCCAAUUAAAGGUGGCUUUGCAUAUGAGUUCUUAGAGUUCUCAAUUGGUUGCACAACAACUUGGAAGAAAUGGCAGGCCCUUGAGCUGCCAGAAAGCAAGAAAUUAAGAUUGAGUUCAGUCCAUAUGAGUUUGGAUUUGUCAUUAUCCUUGUCUUGUGACUAUGGUGUUGAUAAUUCACAUGGAUAAGAACACAUACACCAUUAAAUCUAAGUGUCAUAAGGUUUCUCUCCGAUUCAUGAAAAUGAUGGUGAGGAAACACUUUCACUAAGUAGAUUUUAGCUAGAUAGCAAUUGUGAUAUUUGCAUUCUCAAAGUCGUUAGUGGAGCGUGUGUGGUUUACCGGCACACUAACCUGGACUUGUGAGAAGUGGCAAAAAGGUCUAACCAUUAUGAUUACGGCAUNNNNNNNNNNNNNNNNNNNNNNNNNNNNNNNNNNNNNNNNNNNNNNNNNNNNNNNNNNNNNNNNNNNNNNNNNNNNNNNNNNNNNNNNNNNNNNNNNNNNNNNNNNNNNNNNNNNNNNNNNNNNNNNNNNNNNNNNNNNNNNNNNNNNNNNNNNNNNNNNNNNNNNNNNNNNNNNNNNNNNNNNNNNNNNNNNNNNNNNNNNNNNNNNNNNNNNNNNNNNNNNNNNNNNNNNNNNNNNNNNNNNNNNNNNNNNNNNNNNNNNNNNNNNNNNNNNNNNNNNNNNNNNNNNNNNNNNNNNNNNNNNNNNNNNNNNNNNNNNNNNNNNNNNNNNNNNNNNNNNNNNNNNNNNNNNNNNNNNNNNNNNNNNNNNNNNNNNNNNNNNNNNNNNNNNNNNNNNNNNNNNNNNNNNNNNNNNNNNNNNNNNNNNNNNNNNNNNNNNNNNNNNNNNNNNNNNNNNNNNNNNNNNNNNNNNNNNNNNNNNNNNNNNNNNNNNNNNNNNNNNNNNNNNNNNNNNNNNNNNNNNNNNNNNNNNNNNNNNNNNNNNNNNNNNNNNNNNNNNNNNNNNNNNNNNNNNNNNNNNNNNNNNNNNNNNNNNNNNNNNNNNNNNNNNNNNNNNNNNNNNNNNNNNNNNNNNNNNNNNNNNNNNNNNNNNNNNNNNNNNNNNNNNNNNNNNNNNNNNNNNNNNNNNNNNNNNNNNNNNNNNNNNNNNNNNNNNNNNNNNNNNNNNNNNNNNNNNNNNNNNNNNNNNNNNNNNNNNNNNNNNNNNNNNNNNNNNNNNNNNNNNNNNNNNNNNNNNNNNNNNNNNNNNNNNNNNNNNNNNNNNNNNNNNNNNNNNNNNNNNNNNNNNNNNNNNNNNNNNNNNNNNNNNNNNNNNNNNNNNNNNNNNNNNNNNNNNNNNNNNNNNNNNNNNNNNNNNNNNNNNNNNNNNNNNNNNNNNNNNNNNNNNNNNNNNNNNNNNNNNNNNNNNNNNNNNNNNNNNNNNNNNNNNNNNNNNNNNNNNNNNNNNNNNNNNNNNNNNNNNNNNNNNNNNNNNNNNNNNNNNNNNNNNNNNNNNNNNNNNNNNNNNNNNNNNNNNNNNNNNNNNNNNNNNNNNNNNNNNNNNNNNNNNNNNNNNNNNNNNNNNNNNNNNNNNNNNNNNNNNNNNNNNNNNNNNNNNNNNNNNNNNNNNNNNNNNNNNNNNNNNNNNNNNNNNNNNNNNNNNNNNNNNNNNNNNNNNNNNNNNNNNNNNNNNNNNNNNNNNNNNNNNNNNNNNNNNNNNNNNNNNNNNNNNNNNNNNNNNNNNNNNNNNNNNNNNNNNNNNNNNNNNNNNNNNNNNNNNNNNNNNNNNNNNNNNNNNNNNNNNNNNNNNNNNNNNNNNNNNNNNNNNNNNNNNNNNNNNNNNNNNNNNNNNNNNNNNNNNNNNNNNNNNNNNNNNNNNNNNNNNNNNNNNNNNNNNNNNNNNNNNNNNNNNNNNNNNNNNNNNNNNNNNNNNNNNNNNNNNNNNNNNNNNNNNNNNNNNNNNNNNNNNNNNNNNNNNNNNNNNNNNNNNNNNNNNNNNNNNNNNNNNNNNNNNNNNNNNNNNNNNNNNNNNNNNNNNNNNNNNNNNNNNNNNNNNNNNNNNNNNNNNNNNNNNNNNNNNNNNNNNNNNNNNNNNNNNNNNNNNNNNNNNNNNNNNNNNNNNNNNNNNNNNNNNNNNNNNNNNNNNNNNNNNNNNNNNNNNNNNNNNNNNNNNNNNNNNNNNNNNNNNNNNNNNNNNNNNNNNNNNNNNNNNNNNNNNNNNNNNNNNNNNNNNNNNNNNNNNNNNNNNNNNNNNNNNNNNNNNNNNNNNNNNNNNNNNNNNNNNNNNNNNNNNNNNNNNNNNNNNNNNNNNNNNNNNNNNNNNNNNNNNNNNNNNNNNNNNNNNNNNNNNNNNNNNNNNNNNNNNCCCCCCUGAAAGCAUUGAAAAACAUUGAAAAAGGGUAGGGGUAUGAACUCACUAGUCGCGGAACGUGUCGUCUAGGAUGCUAAGUGUCGGAUCGGGGCUUGACAACUCGUGAGGUUCCUAUGUAUUAUGAAAUGAUAUAUAAUUGUAUCUAAUUAGAUUUUGAAUCACUAAUUAGAUAAGAUUAUACACUCCAAGACGCGAAAACACUUCAAAUUAAGUGUUUGGAGUGACCCGGGUGACAUCUAAGGGUGUAUAAGGUUUGGAUAUGGAGUUUACUCCUCAAGAGUAAACUCAUAAGAGGGUUUACGGUCCUAAUGAACCUUUCCCCAUGAGUUUACGGCCGUAAACUCAUGGUGGGGUGUUCUAUGAUGCUAAAUGGCCUUAUAUCACUUGGGAAGAUUAGCUAGGAUCAAAUCUAGGGCAUUGGAAUGGAUUAAUCUCACAAUUGGACCAUUUAAUGGAGUUUAUGGCAGUAAAAUAGGAGUUUACGGCCGUAAAAUCCCCCAAACUUAACCCAUUGAUGUUUUGAUGGUUCUAGGUCAUUACAAUGCUCAUAGGAAGGUUCUAGGGUUGAUUCCAUGGCUUAGGAAGUGUUUGGGACUUGCAUUGACCUUGGAAAAGUAGUUUACGGUCUAUGAAGAUGCUCUUGGGAGUUUACUACCUUAAACACACGAGUUUACAACCAUAAACUCAUGGUUGUCCAAGAUUCAAGGGUUUUGGUGGUUGGAAGACAAGGAUACUAAGUUCUAGACCCAUUUCUAAGCCAUACAAGGUGUUAAGGGCACUUUAACACCCAUUGGAUGAGUUUAAGGUCUGAGGAGAUGAUUUUACGGUCUAAGAAUGUUCUUGGACCAUAAAAUCAAGCUUGUUCCAUUUGUGUAAGUUUUGGUGCAUUACUUGAAGGGUUAUAAGGUUCUAUACUCUCAUGGAAGCUUGUUGGAGGUGUUUAGGGGCAAACUAACACCUUAAAUUGAGUUUACUCCCCAAGAAUGGGUGUUUACGGUCCAAGCAUGUGCUUGGGCCGUAAAAUCAUGCUUAUGUCUCAAAUGAUAAGUUCAAGGUGUUCUAAGUCCAUGCAAAAGAGUCCUUAACUCAUAUCUAGGCUCCAAAUGAGGUUUGGAAGGGUUUUAAGGCUCAAAACCCCUCAUUACAUGUGUUCACGGCCUAAGGAGGUUCUAGGACCGUAAACAAAUGUUCAUGGUUCUAUUUUUCAUACAAAUCACGAACUUGAAGGAUAAAGGUGUUAUACUAGGAGUUAUGAUAGUUGCCUUGAUGAUUUGGAGCUUGUUUUGGAUGAUUUUGGCUUGAUUUCGAGUUUUAGAGAGAGAAAGUAGAGAGAGAGAGUAGAGACAGAGAGAGUGGAAAGGCUUCAAAUGAGGCUCUCUCUCAACUUUCUAUAUGCUCAAAGUUUGGGACAUGGUGGAAUUUUACCCGAUACCGACGCUAGACGAGGCUUUUGGUCGCACCCGAUUAAUUUACCGUAAUUAUAACUUAGAUGAAACUAAAUAUUUUCUAAAUGAAAAUAGAAUAUAUUUUAAUGAAUUAAAAUGUAUCCCGACACUUAUGAAAUUUAAUUAGAAGUCGCAAUUAAAUUAAUUUAAAGCAAAACUAACGGAAAAAUUGGGACGUAACGGCUUUAUUGACGGAACUGGGUUAAAGUGACGGGAUAAAUUACGGGUUGUCACAUUAUCUCCCCGUUAGAAGGAAUUUCGUCCUAAAAUUCAAACUUUAAAUGCGACUCGCGGAUUUGGAAAGAGAAUACGUAUACUUCUGUUCUAUUGGAUCAUUAUGCUUCCAAGUGAAUUCGGAUUCUCGCAUGGCAUUUCGCGGAAUCAUUCACUUAUUCGGAAUACGGCUUGUUUCAUACGUUUAACCUUUUGAUCUAUGAUUUCGAUUGGUCCUACCAUGAAGCUCAGACUUUCGUUGAUUUCGGUCUCAUCAAAGGGAUUACUAUGUUUUCAUCGGGUAUGCACUUCUUAAGGACAGAGACGUGAAAUACUGGAUGGAUGCUGCUAAGUUCUGAGGGUAGCCGAAGUUUGUUGGCUACAGGAUCGAUCCUAAUGAGGAUUUCGAAAAGUAUAAUGUACUACUACAUGACCAAGGAAAAUGGCUCGACCGAUGGGCAUCACUACGAACUUAUAGUGAUCAUAUCGAGUCUGGCAUACUGUCUACGGAACAUCACUCUCAUGGAUUUGUAGCUGAUGGUACCUUGACCUAAAGUUUAUCUUUGAGAAGUGGCUGGUUCUCUGAAGUGGAUCGAAAAGGUCAUCUAUUCGAGGAAGGAGGAUAUCAGUUUGGACGGUCAACUCAUCAAGCUGACUGGAUAACUCCUGAAUUUCUGUUGUAGUUAAGCGAUAUAGAGAUUUGGUUACUGAGGUAGUUCCAGGAAUUAGGUCGAUGCGAAAUUCAACUUGAUGUUCGGAAAGAAUUCUCGAAAGCUAUAUAGGAAAUACAUCAGGAAAGUCACAGACUUCAGGGACGUUCUCGAGGUUUCUAACUUUCUUUUUAUUGCGGAUUACAUAGGCUAGGAAUGCAUGACACUCCUUUCGGUGAAAACUCUUGAGUUUUGAUGCACGAACUGAUACGAAGGUUGGAACCGAAUUUAUUGCCGUAGAUCAUGAGGGUCUGAUCAGAGAAAAGAUUGGAACGGAUGGAUUUUUCAAUGUUAGGGUAUCAGUAUGAUUGGGACUUAACCAGUCCAAGCCACAGAUAACAUCAAAACUAUUUAUGGAAACUGACAUAAGAUCAAUGGACGAAGGAUGGUCGUUCAGAGUAAGGGUACAACCUAUGGAUGUAUCGAUAAAGUUUUCUUUUAUCACUAGGAUUGAAAAGGAUUGUAGGCGUAAGAGUUGUUAAGGAGGAAAAUACAUGGGGCGACGGUGGGAUCAGUGGCUGUCUCCUCUCGUCCUAUUGCUAGAACUCUUCCGGUGUUGCCAGUCAUUGCUGCCUUUGGGCAGUUUCGCUUAAGAUGCCCGACUUCUCCGCAACCAUAGCAGGCCUGACCAAUGCCCGCUCCGGAAGCUUGGUUGGUUGAUUGAGUUGGUGUCUUGCAGUUUUUCGCAGUGUGACCCUUUUUGCCACAACUGUUGCAAAACACCUCUAUACAUGGACUGGAAGUGAGGUGAUGAUAUUUGCACUUGUCACAACUAGGGAGGUUUCCAGCAUACCUACUGGUAGGUUUUCGAGCUGAGGAUCCAACAACAAAAACAGUUGCGGGGGUAGUAGCAGCGUGAACUGCCACAGUUUGCUGCCUCUUCGAAGACUCCUGCGAUGUCUGACUUUUCUUCUUCCCAAUUUUUCUUUUCUCGCCACUCCUCUCUGUCGGCUCAGGAGUGGUAGUUGUUUCCUCAAGGUCAUCACUAUGGUCGAUUAAGGUCCGUGCUAAGCAUUUGGCGCUGUCGUAUGUAUCCGGCCUCGUAGCUAAGACGUUUCCUUUUGUUGGCUGGGUCAGCCCCCAGAUGAAUCUCUCUAUCUUCUUACUCUCCGGGGUAACCAUUCCCGGGCAGAGUAGCGCCAAGUCAUCGAACCAAGAAGUGUAAGCGACAAUAUCGGAACCCUUCAUCUUCAGGUUCCAGAGUUCGUGCUCUAAUUUCUGCAUUUCGCCUCGAGGGCAGUACUCAGCCAACAGAAUUUCCUUCAUGGCUUCCCAACCCAUGGCGUUGGCUACAGGUAAAGUUAGGGAUUUGACUCGGCCAUUCCACCAAGUCAGGGCUUUGUCGAUGAAGGUGCAGGCGGCGAACUUCACCUUAUCAGAUUCUGAACAGGCACAAAUUUCAAAGAUAGAUUCGAUUUUCUCGAACCAUCGGGUGAGGGAAAUGACACCUCCAGUGCCAUCAAAGGACGUGGGUUUUGCGUUCAUGAAAUCUUUAUAAGAACCCUCUUUUUGGGUUCCCUGACUGCCUUCUUGGUUUUGGGGUUGGGGACCACCUUCUGAACCACCGAGGUUCCUUUGAGACAUGGCAGCUGCCACCGCGGCAUCAACAACUGGCUGGAACAUUACAGGAUCAAAUUGGGGAGGAGGUGGUGGCGGAGGAGGAUUGUUGUUGUUCUUUGAGUUGGGUCUCUUUCUUGGAGGCAUCUUGAUCUAAAAAGAUCAGGAAAGAGAGGAUCAUAAGUCCUCUGAAUUGAAUCAAGAGAUAUGGAACAUGGGAUAUCUCAUUAAAACAGAUAUACGGUAUUCUAUUAAGCGAUAAAGCAGGAAAGAGUUAUCAAAGCAGAUAAACUAUCGCUAAAGGAAUGAUUGAGGAACAACACUGAAAUGAGAAUUUCUAUAAUGGAUUUGGCUUAAGAAAUACUCCCAUAGUAUUUCAUGAUUCGCUGCAGUGACGGCUCGUAGUUUGGGUAUUUGGGUAAGUUUUAGGCAUGCUGCAUACCACAUUCACUCCCAAGCACAUGUUGGCCAUGUCUCGAAUGAAUAUAGUUGGCCAGGCUAUAUUGAUCCUAGACACGACUACACUGCCCGGGUUUAACCACAGUGUACAACACCCAUUUAAUUAUGUUAUUUUCUACUUGUAGUUACGGAUUUUGACGGUUAGGUAUACUUGUANNNNNNNNNNNNNNNNNNNNNNNNNNNNNNNNNNNNNNNNNNNNNNNNNNNNNNNNNNNNNNNNNNNNNNNNNNNNNNNNNNNNNNNNNNNNNNNNNNNNUAAAGGAAUGAUUGAGGAACAACACUGAAAUGAGAAUUUCUAUAAUGGAUUUGGCUUAAGAAAUACUCNACAUACUCUGUGUCCAUUCCAAUUAAAGGUGGCUUUGCAUAUGAGUUCUUAGAGUUCUCAAUUGGUUGCACAACAACUUGGAAGAAAUGGCAGGCCCUUGAGCUGCCAGAAAGCAAGAAAUUAAGAUUGAGUUCAGUCCAUAUGAGUUUGGAUUUGUCAUUAUCCUUGUCUUGUGACUAUGGUGUUGAUAAUUCACAUGGAUAAGAACACAUACACCAUUAAAUCUAAGUGUCAUAAGGUUUCUCUCCGAUUCAUGAAAAUGAUGGUGAGGAAAAACUUUCACUAAGUAGAUUUUAGGUAGGUAGCAAGUGUGAUAUUUGCAUUCUCAAAGUCGUUAGUGGAGCAUAUGUGGUUAACCAGCACACUAACAUGGACUUAUGAGAAGUGGAAAAGGUCUAAACAAUCGAGACUAUGAUUAUGACAUCCCUUUUCAUAGUUCUUAAAUUAUUUAGACACACCUGUGAGCUAUUGUAACGCCCGGGUUUUAGGGCUAAUCAUUUUUGACAAUGUAAUAGUCUAGGUCAACUAUUGUAACUCUUUUUGAAGUAAUAAAGAUGAAAUAUUUGAGUAUUAUGUGAAUUAUGUGUAUUUAUGUGCUUAUUAUUUAAUUAUAAAUGUAUAAUUAAUAAAGAAUAAAAAUAAGUGUCAAAAUUAAAGUGUGAGAUAAGCCCGAUAUCUUUAUAUAAAGUUGUAGUGGUCGAAACAAGGAUUCCGGGGAUAUAAAGAACGCCGAAAUCCGAGUUAUAACGAAGAACUGUCGAAGUUUCGCGAUAGAACCGACACGAUACCGGAUAGCGAAAAUAGUGAAUUUACGAUAGUCACACCCCGAAACCAAAGGCGGAAACAUUCCGGUGCGGAGGACAUCAUGUAUAUCGCAACCAAUGUACAUAGUAAGCAUAGUAAACACAAAACAAUACAUUANACAAAACUUUACAUUACAUAGAUUCAUUUACAUUGUUUGAAAACAAGAGUUACAUAUGUUAUGCAUAUACAUAUCUUAUAAACAAAGUAAAGACGUGUAUUCUACAUACUUCGCCUUCGCCAAAAGGAUCGUUGGGUACCUGUCUAAUGUGGACCUGAGAAUACAAGCAGUUUGAAAAUCAGCAUAAAGCUGGUGAGUUCAAAAGAUGUUUGUUUUUAUGAAAAAUGUACAUGUUUCCUUUCGUUUUCUGAAAAAGUUAUGUAUCCAAGAAAAUCCCAUAUUUUCUUAUAUGUAAAGUUUAGUCAUUUGUUUUGUUACACGAUUCUGGUUAUGAACAACUGUUAUCCCAGGAAAAUCCCAUAUUUUCCUAAAAGUAAAGUUUAGUUACCCGUUUGUUACCCAGUUUGAUUAAGAACAAGUUCAGUUAACCCAGGAAAAACCCUUAUUUUCCUAAAAUGUUUGUGAAUUGUUAUCGAAUCUGAAAGUAACGUACAAGUAUCUACCAUACUUAAAGUGUGUGUGAGAAGUUUCUCGAAAGUUUGGUUACCUUUAAAUGUACAUUAGUUUUUAACACGUAUAUAAAACUAAUAAUUAAGUGUAAAGCUUUCAUAAUCUUGAUUGCGAGUUCCUUAACCAUACUUCAGACUAGAUAUGACUCGGAUCGGGGCCAAUAUCUUGUUAUGACUUUUGUCACCCUUGAACCUUUCGGUUCGGUUGUAGCUAGCAGCCAGGUGCGGGAUAGUCAGUCUCGUAUAGAUCUAUACACUCAAGUCACGCUCUCCCUUCUGGAGAUUCUGGUUACAGGGAUAGUCCUCCACUCUCGUGUCAAGGGGAAGUGUUACAAAGGACGCGUCUCCAAUCUUAAGAUUACUCUUUACUCUCGUAUCUAAGGGGAGUACUAUCUAUGACUGACUAGGUUCUAAUGAUACUUGUCCUUCACACUCGUAUCUAGGGGUGUUUUAUUAAGGAAAAUACAAAUGUUCUAUGAUUUCUAUCGGUAAAUGUGUGAACCAUCCUUUAUGAAGUAUAAAGUAUAACACUAUAUAAUAAGAAUUGAAAUCGGUUUGAAAAACAACUCUGCAAGUCAAACAGUUUGUUAAUAAGUUUUCAAUUCUUAAAAGUGUACUGAUUAUGAAACCAUUCAAAUGAAAUAAUGAAUUUAAGUACAAGAUAUUCUUGUACUUAUGCUUGUAUCCCCCCUGAAAGCAUUGAAAAACAUUGAAAAAGGGUAGGGGUAUGAACUCACUAGUCGCGGAACGUGUCGUCUAGGAUGCUAAGUGUCGGAUCGGGGCUUGACAACUCGUGAGGUUCCUAUGUAUUAUGAAAUGAUAUAUAAUUGUAUCUAAUUAGAUUUUGAAUCACUAAUUAGAUAAGAUUAUACACUCCAAGACGCGAAAACACUUCAAAUUAAGUGUUUGGAGUGACCCGGGUGACAUCUAAGGGUGUAUAAGGUUUGGAUAUGGAGUUUACUCCUCAAGAGUAAACUCAUAAGAGGGUUUACGGUCCUAAUGAACCUUUCCCCAUGAGUUUACGGCCGUAAACUCAUGGUGGGGUGUUCUAUGAUGCUAAAUGGCCUUAUAUCACUUGGGAAGAUUAGCUAGGAUCAAAUCUAGGGCAUUGGAAUGGAUUAAUCUCACAAUUGGACCAUUUAAUGGAGUUUAUGGCAGUAAAAUAGGAGUUUACGGCCGUAAAAUCCCCCAAACUUAACCCAUUGAUGUUUUGAUGGUUCUAGGUCAUUACAAUGCUCAUAGGAAGGUUCUAGGGUUGAUUCCAUGGCUUAGGAAGUGUUUGGGACUUGCAUUGACCUUGGAAAAGUAGUUUACGGUCUAUGAAGAUGCUCUUGGGAGUUUACUACCUUAAACACACGAGUUUACAACCAUAAACUCAUGGUUGUCCAAGAUUCAAGGGUUUUGGUGGUUGGAAGACAAGGAUACUAAGUUCUAGACCCAUUUCUAAGCCAUACAAGGUGUUAAGGGCACUUUAACACCCAUUGGAUGAGUUUAAGGUCUGAGGAGAUGAUUUUACGAUCUAAGAAUGUUCUUGGACCGUAAACUCAAGCUUGUUCCAUUUGUGUAAGUUUUGGUGCAUUACUUGAAGGGUUAUAAGGUUCUAUACUCUCAUGGAAGCUUGUUGGAGGUGUUUAGGGGCAAACUAACACCUUAAAUUGAGUUUACUCCCCAAGAAUGGGUGUUUACGGUCCAAGCAUGUGCUUGGGCCAUAAACUCAUGCUUAUGACCCAAAUGAUAAGUUCAAGGUGUUCUAAGUCCAUGCAAAAGAGUCCUUAAGUCAUAUCUAGGCUCCAAAUGAGGUUUGGAAGGGUUUUAAGGCUCAAAACCCCUCAUUACAUGUGUUCACGGCCUAAGGAGGUUCUAGGACCGUAAACACAUGUUCAUGGUUCUAUUCUUCAUACAAAUCACGAAUUUGAAGGCUAAAGGUGUUAUACUAGGAGUUAGGGUAGUUGCCUUGAUGGUUUGGAGCUUGUUUUGGAUGUUUUUGGCUUGAUUUCGAGUUUUAGAGAGAGAAAGUAGAGAGAGUAGAGAGAGAGUGGAAAGGCUUCAAAUGAGGCUCUAUCUCAACUUUAUAUAUGCUCAAAGUUUGGGACACGGUGGAAUUUUACCCGAUACCGACGCUAGACGAGGCUGUUGGUCGCACCCGAUUAAUUUACCGUAAUUGUAACUUAGAUGAAACUAAAUAUUUUCUAAAUGAAAAUAGAAAAUAUUUUAAUGAAUUAAAAUGUAUCCGGACACUUAUGAAAUUUAAUUAGAAGUCGCAAUUAAAUUAAUUUAAAGUAAAACUAACGGAAAAAUUGGGACGUAACGGCUUUAAUGACGGAACCGGGUUAAAGUGACGGGAUAAAUUACGGGUUGUCACAACGAUAGAGCGAGAUUUAGCCUUAGCGAUCUAAACUAAAGUCCUAGAAUACGUUAAAACAAGAGCUUCCAUAAAAAGAAUGCCCAAACCUGACUUCGUAUGAGAAAGUUGUGAUUUUUCGAAGUUUCGGAUUAGCAGUGUACAACCCGAAAUUUGAAUAUUAGAUCGAGCGGUUUUUAGCCGAAACGACCUGAACGAGAAUCGAAGAUCUCGUUAAGAGUAGCGUAACAAGAAAAAGAUGGGUGAAAAUGGACAUCGAUGAAGAAGUUAUGAGAAUUUAACGGACCAAUCCUGUCCCAGCUUGUUAAUAAUAUAACUUUUAAAAUAGAGUCAAAAUUAGCCGACGGAGUCUAAACGAAAGUUGUAAAGUACGUUCCCAUUUCGCGUGGAUAUACAGAACGUCGAAAACAGAGCUCGUAUGUGAAAGUUAUGAUUUUUAGUAGUCGGAGUAUGAAUUUGCGAAAUCUAUUGCGAGGUGGUGACGUGGCUCAAUCAGGGCCGUCACUUGUUGAACACGGAGUCGCUUCGGAUGAUGACACGUCGCCCUCGCUUACGCCCCGCGUCCGAAGUCAGUACGCCCUGCGUACCCUUGCCCUUAUCUGUCCGAGACCGAGUGCGAGCCAGUUGGAUCCACCUGUAACCUUAUCCGAACUACGCCCCACGUAGUGUUGCUGUACGCCCAACGUAUGAUCGAGGGCUCGCACCUAUAAAUAGGCUGUGAGGGCUGCCGAAGAAAAACACACAAAACUCAUUCUCUCUCUAGUUUCUUUCUCUCUCUAGGGAUCCUAACCUCCCCUAAACCCUAGAUAAACCCCCUAGCUCCCAAAGGAAACCCUGAGGCUCCCAGAGUCCCGAGAAAAAGAGUCUUUCGGUUUCGAAACGCUGCUCCAAAUAAAGCCCGGUUUUCUUUAAAAUCCGCUGUAAGUGAGCUACGCUUACGCAAUUUUUAAUAUAGCUUUCAAAUAAUUAUAGUAAUGUUAUUAGGUCUUUAAAAUAAUUAUUUGGGCUAUUAUUAUGAGUUAUAUUAAGUUUUAUUUAACGCUUAUAUAAUAAUAAUAAUAAUAAUAAUAAUAAUAAUAAUAAUAAUAAUAAUAAUAAUAAUAAUAGCUAGACUAUUAAUUAGUCUCGGCGAAUAAUAGACUAAACUCUAGUGGUAAUAAUACUAGGUUUCGUCGAAGGAAAUUAUUUUUAAGAAGCGAAGCGCUGUCUGAGUUCGGAUUCAUCACCUUUUCAAGUGAGUGCAUAGUUACUUUCAGCUUACACAUAGAUAUGAAGUAUUUUAUAUAAAUUACGUGCUAUGUGUGCAUAUUAUCUGAAUACUUGCUAUCUAUGCUGGAUGAACGUUUUAUACAUGUUUUCAAUGAUUUAAACUGUAUAUGUAUUUUAUAUCUACAAAAUGUGUUGGGUAAAACAUGGGUAGAUGUAAUAGUUGUUGUGUGAUAAAAUAAAAUAAUGAGAGGCCUCGUUAUAGAUGUUAUUGAUGAUCCAGUCAUCUAGCGGAGUAUAGAUGACGACCACGGACUAUUCUAGACAGUCCAGUGGAACACUAGCAGGCUCGCAACCUGUAGGUGUUUAUUUGAACUGUGUGCUCACCAGGUGUACUCCAUCCCCCACAUGGUUGCCUUAAGGACAUUUAUUGCUGAGGAAUCCCCUUAGCAGUAGUGUCCAUCCCGAUGAUAGUCCUUAGACUAGGUCCCUUGUGUUAGAUGUCUUAGGGACGUAAAGUGAGGAUAAUGGGAAUGGGUAAUCAGGUUUGUUUGGUUUGAUAAAGUUAAUAAACUUAUUUAUUGUGGGUUGAAAACCCUAUGUGCUCACCAGGCUCCCAAGGCUGACCCACUCAGUUUCUUGUAUCACAGGUAGUGGCGCAUGAGCAUAGAUGUGAUGUCUUGGGAUGAGAGAUUAAUGGACUUUAGGCCUGUAAAUACGGAAUAAUGUAGUAAGACCUAUUUUGUAUUGUUUAUGCUUAUGAUCUGUAUCGAACAUGACAUCCCGAGUCUUUUUAAUGAAAUACAUUUCUAUGGAAAUGCUUUUGAUAAAUCUUUAUCAUAUAUUGUUUUGGGACAAAUUCCGCAACACUUUUAGUUAAAAUGUUACUCUCAUUUUUAAAAAGCAUAAACAAAAUCGGUCUUUUCUGGCCGUGAAAAUGGGGAUGUCACAACUAUCUAAGAUAAGGUGUAUGAUAUUGAUAAAGUUUUAUCAAAGCAAUCUAGUAUCAGAAAUCUGAACUUUGGUAAGAAAGUCAAUAAAGUAUUGUUUUUCUAGAAAUUUAGCUGAUUUCUGAGUACAUGUCAAAGAUAGUGGGAGCAUAAGUGUUAUGCUAAUAAUCAUCAUGUUAGUGGGAGCAUGAUAAUUAUAAUAAUAAUUAUUGCAAGUUAGCAAUCUUAAUUAUAGAAAACCAAAAGUUUCAAUUCGUGAAGUUGAAAGGGUUGAAAAGUUGUUUUGCUAUAAUUAAGGGAGAGGAAAUUAUACUUCAUUUCAAAUCUAAUAGCUUAGAUAGUGAGAUUUUAAUCAAGUUUAGUCAAGUAUAUAUAUGAAUGAUAUGCUGGAAUGGUUCAACAUAAGUAAGUUCUAUAUAUGGGUCCAUUAUUUGUGUUCUAAAAUUCGAUUAUGAUUACGGCAUCCCUUUUCAUAAUCUGAAUUAUGAGAACUUGGCAAAUCAUGUGCUAUAAUAUUUAUCAUUUCUAAAUUUUUCAAAAGGCUCAGAGCAUUAAGAGGGAAAAGUCUAGAAUUGGAUAUGACUAAAAUGAUUAAGUAAUUGUCGAGGACAAUCUAAGGUUUACCAAAGAUUGUGUGACAUCCCCAAUUUCACGGCCAGAAGAGACCGAUUUAUUUAUGCUUUGUUUUAAAAUCAGAGUUAUCUUUUAAAGAAAGCAGUUGCGGAAUUUGUCCCAAAAACAAAAUAUGAUAACCAUUUAUCAAAAUAUUUCUCAAAAAGAAGGUAUUUUUAUUAAAUAAUAAAACCUCGGGAUGUCAUGUUCCGAUACAAAUCAAAAGCAUAAACAAUAUAAACUAAACCUUACAACAGUCAUUUAUAACCACUGAUCUACAAUCCAAAAUCUCUUGUCAAGUCCACCAACUUAUACUCUUGUGCCAUUACCUGUAAUGUAAAGAAAACUGAGUGGGUCAGGCUUGGGAGCCUGGUGAGCAUAUAGGGUUUUCAACCCACAAUAAUACAUUUAUUAUAUUCAAUUAUCAAACAAUCAACCCAAAUACCCAUCCCUAUUAUCUUCUUUAUUUCUUAAGGUUUUACCCUAAGAAUCGAUUAUACUUUCUCCAUUCAUUCCUAAGGGUUUACCUAAGGAACUGGCACAAAGUCCAUUUGCUACCACGGUUUAUACAACAGGCACUACGUCGCAUAGUCACCAGGGUUCAUACAAUUGGCACUACGUCUCACAGUCACCAAGGUUUACACAAUAGGCACUACGUCUCAUAGUCACCUGGGUUUACACAAAAGGCAUGAAGUCACAUCGUCACCAAGGUUUAUCAAAUAGGCACGAAGUCGCAUUGUCACCAAAGCUUACUCAAUAGGCACGAAGUCGCAUCGUUACCAACUAUUCCAUAUACCCACAUUCUACCCAACAUUUUUGUAGAUAUAAAUACAAACAUAAUUUAAAUCAUUUAACACUUGUAUAAAAACAUCAAAUCCAAGUCCAUCUCAAAUAGAUAAUUAAUAUUUAACACAUAUCACAUAUUUCAUAGCUAAUACUUUAUAUUUAUGUGUUAGAUGAAAGUGACUAUACACUCACUUGAUUAGACGAUGCUCGGACAACACUACGGCUUGUAGAAGUAGUGUUUCUCCGUAGAUUUGGAAGAUCUUCACAAAAACCAGGCACCGCGCGGGUAGGGCUUCGGCUCGGAAAUCUCACUUCUCGGGGUCCUCGGGGCUUCGGAUCUUGCUUCGGGGCUCGGGAAUGAUACCGGGGCUUUGGGAUAUGAUUAGCACGCAAAAUCGAGGCAAAAACUAGAGAGAAGAAAGAGUUUGAACAAGAGAAAAUGGCUUAUCUCGGUUUCUAUUUAUAGGCUGCUGGGUCUGGGAUUACGCUGGGCGUAAUUUCAAUUUACGCGGGGCGUACUUCGACGUCACUGCAUGCGUCAAUUGGUGGCACUCGAGUAUUGGUCAGACAAGUUGCACCCCUCUGAGUACGUUGGGCGUACUCAAAUUACGCUCGGCGUAAUUUGACUCGUCAAACUUCUAAAUUGCGUAACUUUCGCAUAUGAGUUCCGUUUUCGACGUUCUUUAUAUCCACGCGAGGGUGAGAUUAUGCUCUACAACUUUCAUUUAGACUCCGUCGGCUAAUUUUGAAUUUUAUUUUUAUUAUUUAUUUUUAGAAGGCCGGGACAGAAAAACUUCGUUAUAAAUUCAUAACUUCUUCGUCUGACGUCCGUUCUCGCCUAACUUUUCAUCGUUUCGCUACUAACAACGAGAUCUUCGAUUAUUGUUUAGAUUGGUUCGGCUAAAAACCGCUCGAUCUCAAAUUGAGUAUUCGGGCUGCAUACUGCCAAGUCGAAACUUAGAAAAAUAAUAACUUCCUCAUACGGAGUCAGAUUUGGAUGUUCUUUUUAUGCACGCUCACGGUUUAAUGAACUAUACAACUUUCGUUUAGAUCACUAAGGCUAAAUAUCUCUCUAACAUAAAUUCACUUUUUACGUCAUUCAACGUCAUGUUGGUUCUGUCACGAAACUUCGACAGGUCAUAACUUCUUCGUUAUAACUCGGAUUUCGGCAUUCUUUAUAUUCAUGGGAACCUUCUGACAUAUACUACAACUUAAUUAAGAUUAUUUAUUAUAAAUAAUCUUCUAUCAAAAAGUCGUUUUUUUUAUGCUUAUCGUCUCUAAAUUGACUAGCCCUAAUCUACAGGCAUUAUAGAUUGGUUGCUCAAGGACAGUUGGAAGUAUAGUGUUAAUUCUGGAAGGACCAUAUUGACAUAAUCGGUAAGGAGGCAACUCUUGUUCAGAAGUGAUAGUCAAAAUGGAAUAUGGAAAAGUUUCAAAGUUAGAAAUUAUUCAAUCUGUGUAAGAUAGAAAAACUUAAUGCAAGAAGGAUGUCUCCAUGGAUUUGAUCUCCAUUGGAAUACUCUGUAAUGUUUGUUGACAAGUCUUUGUGACUUUCAGCAUAAUCAUUACAAGAGGACCAGUGCAUAUAAGUCUGAAAUCUAACAGACUUUGGUAAGUGGCAGGAAUUUGGAAUUCUUGCCUUUUCAGUAAGGAUUUGGGACUGUGAAAAAAGGAUCAUUGGAGUUAUGUUCAAUUGGUCUAUUUCGCAAAGUAAAGAUCAUAGACAAACAUAGUAUGCAUACUUGGUGUGUGGCAUGACUAGUGUUUAGAAAAACAUAGUGUACAUGCUUGCAACAUGGGCCAACUAUUGUUUUAAUUCAAGAAUAAAGUUGAUAGCUGAAACAAUAUACAAUGAAUAAUGUGUAAUCAUAUGGUGAUAAAUAAAAGGUGUUUUAUUUAUAUUCAUAAUUUCUGAGACCAUAUUGGAUUCGAUUAUUAUUUUGUUUCACUUUUCAUGUUUUGACUUCCAGAAUAACUAGGUCAUUGCUCUGAAUGACUAAGUUAUUCAAACCAUCCACAGUCGGUCAUAUGUUGGAAGUAGAUAUGAAUCAAGACUAUCAUGGGUUGGGCUUGUAGAGGUCUAAGAUGUUGACAAGGUGGUGCUACAACACUCAUGAAUGCUCAUAAGUUCUGAGUAUUGGAUUCAACCCGCGCUCAUUCGAAUCACUUCAUGGAUUUUAUCACGAGUGAUCAUGAGACGAUAAUAUCUUAUAUUCUUCAAACCUAGAGAUAUGAGUUGUUACUAUGAGUUGGUUAUACAUUGAUUACACGAAAACGCAUUGGUAACUCGAUGUUAUAAAAUGUGCCUUUGUGUAUGAUUCAACAAGUAGUAGAACAAGCCAUAUGAGUCGAAGUUUAUCCAUUCCUUUUACCUUCGGGAUAAAAGCGAUAUCUGUGGGCCCCUCGAUGAUUUGAUGAUGACAAAUGGAAGUGCUCGGCCGGGCCAGGACUGAUUUGAUUUGUUCAAUUAGUCAGUCGUCAUAAAUCGGAAAUCGGGAAACAACAAAUGGACAGAGAGAAUGAUUAUAAUCCAUGUCUCAGUCCAUAUGAUAUCUAGAAUGGAGGAAUAUAUGAUCCCUUAUCUAAUGGACAAGUCAUUGACAAAGGUUAGAGAUCAUCGGCAAGGUCAGAGUUCAACAGAAGCUUUUGAGAGCUACGAUUGCCAGUCGGUUCUUGAAGUCAUACUUGAAAUAACAGUUUUAGACUUAUCCAAGUGGGAUACUGUUGUAUUAAUGUCUAAGUCCAUAACUAUGAUUGGUAAGACUUGACCCGACCCGACAUGGUCCAUUUGGGUUGCAUGGCAUCAUGCAUUUGGAUAGACUAUAAUGAGAGAAAUAACACUUAAGGUUUGUUAAUAUAUUAUAAGUUCUAAUAGAAUAAUAAGAUUAUUUAAUUAGUAUUGAUCAAGAAUUAAUCUAGGAUUAAUUAAGUGAUCAAAAGAAGACUAAUUAAAUAUAUGGGUUGAUUGUGUAAAUCAUCCAUACUUGUAUAGUGGGCUAAGACUUCAUGGAUUAUCAAGAUGGGCUAAAACCCAUAGGAUGCUCCAUGGAUGCUCCAUGGUAUAUUUGAACCCAUGGAUCCAAGGAAAUGGAAAGCCAUGCCAAUUAGGGUUCACCCUAAAUGUCACUAACUAUAUAAGCAUCUUAUUGUUGACAAAAUCGGCACUAGAGAAUAUGUGAAAGGGCUAGUCGAUUUUCAUGAAGUGUGGAUUUCUCUCUAAUCUUUUCAAGUUUAUUUGGUGUUGUGUGAACCAUUUAAGGUGUCACACUUGGGGCACUAGGCACUCAAGAUUCAUGAAGACAUUCUACAUCAAAGAGGUAUGUUAUUCUAACUUGAGAUAUUCAUAUGAAUCAAUGUUAUUAUGCUAGUUAGGAUGAAUACCUUGGAAAGUUCAUAUUUGCAUGUAUAAUAGAGAAAACAUAGAUCCAAGGUAUUUAGGGUUGCAUGUACUCUUAGGAGUGUUAGAAUGCUCAAAACCCAACAAUAUUAUCCCUCCUAGAAGGAAUAGAAGAUUCCGUGGUAUACUGCGAUGCAUCCAGCCAAAGGCUUGGUUGUGUUCUCAUGCAACACGGAAAGGUCAUUGCAUAUGCCUUAAGAUAGCUUAAGAUGCACAAAGUCAACUAUACUACACAUGAUCUUGAGUUAAGAGCAGUGGUAUUUGCUCUAAAGAUCUGGAUACACUACCUGUAUGGUACGAAAAACACUAUCUGUAUAGACCACAAAAGCCUUCAACAUAAAUUCGACCAUAAGGAGCUCAACAUGAGACAACGGCGGUGGGUCGAGCUACUCAAUGACUACGAAUGCAAAGUUUGUUAUCAUCCUGGUAAGGCCAACGUAUUAGUCGACGCCCUAACUCAGAAAGAAUAAUCAGGUCGUAGAGUCAAGGCAUUGACUAUGACAAUCCAUUCACAUCUAUCCACGUAGAUUAAAGAGGCUCAGCAGGAAGCCUUAAAACCUGAAAAUGUGGCAGGUGAAUCCCUGAGAGGGAUGGAUAAGAACUUAGAAGUCAAGGGUGACAGAGCCUUAUACCUCAUGGAUCAGAUCUGGACACCGAAACUUGGUGGUUUCAGAGACGUUGUCAUGAACGAAGCGCACAAUAUUUGAUACUCCAUUCAUCCAGGUUUAGAUAAGAUGUAUUUGGAUCUCAAAAAGUUAUAUUGGUGGCCUAACAUGAAAGCAAAUAUUGCUACGUUCGUUCGCAAGUGUCUUACUUGCGCCAAGGUUAAGGUCGAAUACCAAAACCCCUCAGGUUUACUACAACAACUGGAGAUACCUGAGUGUAAGUGGGAGCAGAUUACAAUGGACUUCAUAACCAAAUUGCCCAUGACAACGGGUCAUCUCGAUACCAUUAGUUGAUCAUAGACAGGUUAACUAAAUCCGCACACUUCUUGCGAAUCAAAGAAACCUAAAAGAUGGAGAAACUGACAAGAACAUACAUUAGGGAGAUUGUACGACUGCAUGGUGUUCCCAUAUCUAUCAUCUCUGAUAGAGAUAGUAGAUUCACUUCAAGAUUCUGUAGUCACUACAAAAGUCUGUGGGAACUAGGAAGGACAGAGUGAGAGGACUAUACAAACGCUGGAAGACAUGAUGCGAGCUUGUGUGAUCGACUUUGGUAAAGCAUGGGAUAUCCAUUUUCCAUUGGUCGAGUUUUCAUACAAUAACAACCACCAUACUAGUAUCAAGGUUGCUCCAUUUGAAGCUCUUUAUGGCCGAAAGUGCAGAUCCCCUCUGUGAUGGGCUGAGGUGGGUGACAUGCAACUAGCUAAAGGACAAGUUCCUAACAGCACUCUCACGGGUCCGGAAGUCAUUCGGGAAAUGACAGAUAAGAUUGUUCAGAUUCGUGAACGAUUGAUAGCCUCUAGAGACUGACAGAAAAGCUACGCUGACAAGAGAUGGAAACCUUUGGAAUUUCAGGUUGGUGACCUUGUUCUAUUGAAGGUCUCACCCUGGAAGGGCUUGAUAUGCUUCGGAAAUCGUGGUAAGCUAAAUCCAAGGUAUAUAGGGCCUUUUGAGAUUCUCGCUAGGAACGGCCCUGUAGCUUACAAACUCAAACUACCUCAAGAACUUCGUAACGUACACCCUACCUUCCACGUUUCAAACCUAAAGAAGUGCCUUUCUGAAGAGACUCUUGUUAUCCCACUCGAUGAAAUCGAUAUCAAUGAGAGCCUCAACUUCAUGGAAGAACCUGUAGAAAUCAUGGAUAGGGAGAUCAAGCAAACAAAGCAAAGUCGUAUACCGAUAUUAAAGGUUUGUUGGAAUGCAAAAUGGGGACCCGAAUUCACUUGGGAGCAGGAGGAUCAGUUGAAAUAUAAGUAUCCUCAUCUCUUCCCUUAGUCCAUGAGUAUUUUCUUAAUUCUAAUUUCAGGACGAAAUUCCCUUUAACAGGGGGAUGAUGUGACAACCCGAAAUUUCUAUCUUGUAAAAGUCAAACUUGGUCAACGAUAGUCAAACAUAUCCAAUAAAGGUUAAACUUAUUACUUUAAUUAUCUUAUGGUUAGAUUAGAUUAAUGAGAUGAAUGUGUUCAAACCAAGUAUUCUAAAGUGUUGUAUGUUAAGUGAGAAAACCCUAUGGACCAAGGACCGUAAAACUGGCUAAUGUCGUGAACGAGCCUUCGGGUCGUGAUCAGCCUUCGGACUAUGAACCUAGGUUUGCGGCUGUGAACUCAUCCCCUCUACAUAUUGGUGCUGAUUGAUUUUUGACUCACUUGUACACUUAUGACCGCAAACACAUCCAUUCUCUCCCAAAGAUCAUCAAUCGUAAACCCUCUUUUCUCUCAUCAAUCAUCAAAGGAUCCUUAAUUCACCUUCGGAUCUGUUAAGAAUCAUCAAAAGUUCAUCCGUUCAACAAUCAAGUUGUUGGAACCUGAAAGUGAACCUCUAGCAAUCCUAAGUACAUAUUCCGAAGGUUGUUGGUUCCGAAGGAAGAUGUGAUCUGGAACCUGUCCGGAGCUAGAGAAAAGGAGUGAAGUAUUUUGAAGAGGAACACAUUCCGGAGCUGAUCUUGAAGUCCGGAAUGUAUGUUGAUCCGGACCAAACCUUCAUCUCAAGAACAUUACUUGUCCGGAAUGAAGUCUCUAUAUCUUUUGUGCAUUUAUUACUUUUGUCUUGUAUUGUGAUGUAACAUUUCAUAGGACAUAGUUUAAAGUUUAUUUAGGACAAUCAGAAUGUCAGGCUUGUAUCUUUUAUCCGGUCCUAUGUAAACACCUAGGUUAAUUUACUGUAACAUUCUCUCCUAUAUAUAGGAGCAUUCAAUACAAGUCAACUACGGAUCUUUCUCUUACUUUUGGCAUUUACUCUUAUCACAUUAAAAACAUUCUUUUUGUUCUUCAUUCUUUGACAUUACUUUGAUCAUUAUUUUCCUGUUCUUAAUUAAUGUCUUGAUCAUUUGUUGAACUGAUUAUCUAAUACUUGACUGGUCUUUCAAGUCUCGACUUGAACAUCCAUUUUCAAGCAGACUUUGAGAUGUUGUAUGGGAGGAGUUGGGAUACCUACCUUCCGUUGGCAGAAUUCUCCUACAAUAAUAGUUAUCAUGCGAGUAUCGACCGCCCUCCCUUCGAGAUGUUGUAUGGGAGGAGGUGUAGGACCCUGAUAUGUUAGGGCGAGGUUGGAAAGAGGGUAAUGGGGAGCACUGAAGUAGUGCUCAAGACGACAGAGAAGAUUCUGCAGGUUUGGAGCAGGCUUCAGACUGCUCAGAGUUGGCAGAAAAGCUAUGUCGAUAAGCGCCGAUCAGACCUGGAGUUCCAGGUCGGGGAUAUGGUUCUCCUAAAGGUGUCGCCAUGGAAAGGCGUUAUCGGAUUCAGGAAACGGGGCAAGUUGGAACCCAGGUACAUUGGACCGUUUAAGGAUAUAGCCCGGGUGGGCAAGGUGGCAUAUAGGCUAGAUCUGCCAGCCGAACUCAGUCUGAUCCACAACACUUUCCAUGUUUCCCAGCUACGAAAGUUCCCGGUGGACGACUCAGUAGUGGUACCCUUGGAGGACAUUCAGGUCGACGGGAGGCUGAGCUACAUUGAGCGACCUGUGGUGAUCCUCGACCCGAAGUCAAAGGAUCUGAUGAACAAGAGAGUGGAGCUCGUGAAGGUGCAAUUGCAGCAUCGGAAGGGCUCGGAAUGGACUUGGGAGCCGUUGGACAAGAUGAUGGAACACUACCCAGAGUUGUUCCAGGAGCGAGUAGCAGACUUCGAGGACGAAGUCUGAAAUAAGUGGGGGAGAUUUGUAGCACCUGGUUCUUGGUACGUAUUCCUUUUAUUUUUAUAUCAAAGUGUUUUGCAUUUUGGGCCUUGGACUUGGCGAGUCGAAGGACCAACUUACCGAGUAGAAGCGGGAUGGGACGCGGGAUUUAAGCCGUGGACUCCACGAGUCGGGUCCCAGACUCGACGAGUAAGUGUUGUCUGGACAAAAACCCUAAUCCAAGGGUUUUCACCCUAUUUAAACAAUGUUAUGUCGUCCAAAACGUCCCUUAUGCUCCCAAAACACCUCUCAUUGAAACCUUAGCCGUUAUUGAAGCAAUAUAAGCCUUGUUGGUGGAUUUUGGUGCUUGUGAUCUUAAGAAGGAAGGAGAAAAGCUUGAGGAAGCAAGUAGAGACCAAGGGAACCCAAGUUUGUACACCUUCUACAGCUCAUUGAAGGUAAAAAGUUGUAACCUUGCUCAUUCAUUUGUUAGAUCCCUCUUUGGGGAGAUUUAGGGCUUUUAUAAGCCAUUUUUGGUGGCCAGCCAUGUUUGCAAACAUGGUUGGGGGUUAAAGCUUCUAAAUCACAUCAUUAAAGGAGUCACUAGGCAGAUUUGGGUUGCUUUUGCACCCAUGAAAGGUCCUAUGUACCAUAGGAGCUUGUUUUAUGUCUUUUUGAGCUCAAAGUCCCAUGCAAGCACAUAAAGUUUGUAACUUUACGUGCUAGAUCGAUUGUAGAAGCUUGGAUCUAUCUUUUGAUCAAAGGUUGUACAUCAGAAAUCAAGGAUUUAGAGUGUGGACGUGACCGACUCGACGAGUCCGAGGCUUUGAGUCCCAUAUCUGUCGAGGGUCAAAGGAACCCAGUUGAGUGUUAGAAGGGUUGUAAUCGGACAGAAAGAGUUAACCAAUGUAUUGGACGUGAUUUUAGACCUGGAGUUCAUGGGACUCGACGAGUGCUAGAACAGACUCGGCGAGUCCAAGGAAAUCUUCUUAAGGAUAAAGAUAAACUCGACGAUUUGUUCAUCAACUCGGCGAGUCGAGGAAAGAACUUGUUCAUCAGAUGAAGGUGAACUCGACGAGUUGUUCAUAAACUCGGCGAGUCGGAUGAGUUUCAUGCGAUGUUCAUGUGAGGGAGGAACUCGUCGAGUUGACGGCCCAACUCGACGAGUCGGGUCAUGGAUGAGGACGAGUAAAGGGUGAGGGACUCGGCGAGUUGACGACCCAACUCGGCGAGUCGGGUCAACUUGAAGUUGACUUUGACUAGGCUUGGACUGACCCUGUUUAGGGUUGUACUUGUUGUGUGUUGACUUGAAGGUUGUCAUUGAAGGGAUCGAGGAGUCGAAGGGAGUCGACUUGUGCGCCGCGGAUAAUUCAAAUACUGCACGACAUUGAGGUGAGUUACCUUCCAGUAGGGGUGGGUCUACGGCCACAAUGUUAGCCCACCAAAAAAAGGGGUAAUUAGAAGAUGAUUGUCUUCGUGAUAAUUAUCUUGGUUCGGUUAUGUGUUUCGAUUAUGAGAUUUAACUGUAUGACAUGUUAUGUGUGUAGUAGGGAUUAGUUUCCCUGACAGUGGUCCUUAGGACCUAGGGGUAGGUCAGUACCCGGAUAUGCCUGACUGUAUGUUUAUAUCUGUUGUUGCAUGCUAGUGGUAGGGGUGAAAUAGUCCCCAGUUACCGGUUGAAAGAUACCGAUGACGGUUACCGGUUGAAAGAUACCGAUGAAGGUUAUCGGUUGAAAGAUACCGACGAUAUUGUAUGGUAUGUGGUCUGAUGGGGGAACUCACUAAGCUUUGUGCUUACAGUUUUAGUUUUGGUUUCAGGUACCUCUUCGUCAAAGGGGAAGGAGCCGGUGGUGCAGCAGCACAUCACACACACACAUGGUUUCCGCAUUGAGUUUAUGGGACUGUACUUUGAUUUUUCAUUACUUCUGAUGUUAUGGGUUGAGACACAACAUUAUGAUUUUGUAAUGUGAUGUUUUAUCGACAACGUUUUUGGUAAAAUGUUUAUUAAAUAUCGUAGUUCAAAAAUGAAAUUUGCGGGCUUAAAUUUUGGGUCGUUACAGACAGUGCCACGUAUCAUAUGAAACAACAACAUGAGCAGACUCAUAGAAAGACUUGACAGGCGAAGGGAGGACAAGAUACAAGUCGUGGAGAUCACUAUUGCAUCUUUGAAUGAUUGUACCUAUUUUAAGAUCCUUCACAGUUAAACCAAAAGGAUCAAACUCGACGGAAACAAAAUUAUUGGUAGUGAAAUGACGAACAAAGAUGAGAUUUUUAACUAUUUUAUUGGAAACAAGAAUAUUUUCUAAAAACAACUGAUUAUUGGAAAAGGGAAAAGAAGUUUGACCAAUAGAUUGAACAGGAAGAAAAAAAACCAUUACCAACCACAAUGAAUUUAGAAGCCCAUGGAGUUAGAGAGAGCAUUAUACCUUGGUUGAAAGUCAUAUGCGAGCUGGCACCAGAAUCCAUGUAUUAGUUGUUGUCAGGCGGCGGUUGAACUGAAAUGGCUUGAAAAACUGAAGCAAGGUCUGUGAGUUGUGGCUGCUCAUGAUUAGAAACAUGGCUACCAAAAGACAUGUUGGAUGACUGCUGAGAUGGCGUAAAUGACUAUUGUUGGGGUGCGUUAUAAGACGAACAAAUCUAUCCAAAAAAGGUUGUUCAAGUUGUUGUGAAGGAUAACUGAGAGGGGCAGCUUGCUCAAGGGAGAACCACCGAAGGGGAAAAAACCAUAGGGAGCAGCGGCAACAGCAAAUACAACAGAGGGUUGUUGUUGGGCGACAACAGGUGGCUGUUGCAUGGAGGCUGACAUAUGAGUUGCUGGUGUUGCUCCAAGUAGACCCAAUGGCUGAAAAGAGUGUGCUCCAAACUGCAUUACAGGACCAAAAAGAGGUUGAUUUUGGCCUUGAACUCCUUGUGUACCUGAAAAAGAGUUAGAAUUAUUGGAAACAUUAGCAACCUCCUGGCAGCAAAACAUCCAUUAUUUUUACCCCUAUUAAACUUAUUUUUCGAUUUCCCACUGGUGGUUGCGGAUGAGUACAAGGCAGCGGACGAAGUGAGUGUAGAAUCACCAGUUGGAUCGGUUGCUUCUUUGCGAGAUUCAUGGAGUAGCAACAUGUUUUUGGCAUCAAGGAAUGAGGGAAAUGGCUUAGUGUCUGUGAUCACAUCAACAAUGCUACGAUAUGAUGGCGGAAGCUGGCGAAGAAUUUGCAUAACAAGCUCAAUUUCAUCAAUUUUGGAAUCACAAUCAGCAAGUGCCUCAACCAAAUUCUUAAAAGUGUGGCAAAAUUCUAUGAUUGAUGAGGACCCUUUCUUGGUAUUUUGAAAUUGUUCUUGAAGUUGGAGCAUACGGGACAUGUUGUUAUUGAGGAAGAAUUCAGUGAGCUUGUCCCAAAGAUGUUUAGCUGUACAGUCACCACUAGACAUAAUCUGCAAAAGAUUAGCAUCAUAUGUAGUAUAAAACCAUGAUUUGAUCCUAGAAUCAAUGGCCACCUAAUCUACAUCAUCAUCACCUUUUCGGAGGGAUUUUCUAGUAAUAUGACCAUGCACCUUGGCUCCUUUGCAGAUGUAUAAGAAGAUGCGCUUCCACAGUUUGUAUUUGGACCCAUCAACUGAUAGUUUAAAGAUAAACUAGCUGUAGACAUUGGUUAGUGCAAAGACAAGUUGUGUGGCAGUGGGAGAGGUGGUGGAGGUCAAUGUGGGUACAAUGUACAUAGAAAAUAAAGGAAAUUGAGAAAAUAAAUUUAACAAGAGUAGUAAAUGAUGAGCAUAAAGCUAAACCAAAGGAAGGAAGAAUUUAAAUGUGCCAGUAUUUUAACUCAACAAACAUCAACAUAACUUGGGUAGUGAACUAGGAAGAGAUUUGCGAUCAAUGGAUAUUGUUGGAAGGUUAUUGUGAUCGAUAUGGCACAAGAGGCAGGAAGUCACAGAGAAAAAACUGUAGGCAAUUGCUUCGAUCGACAAGGGAAAAUGAGAAAGACCUUAAGGCAGCGCUAGAAUAAAAAUUGGAGAACACGUUUGGUACUUGUGCGAUUGAUUCAAAAGGAAAACACAGGAAGGCUCAAUACCAUGUUUAAUGAUNAAAAGUAUAAAAAUAGAAAUAACUAAACAAUAUAUUUAACAUCGAACAUGCUCAGCUAAUCCAUACCCACAAUCACACAAACAUCCCAAAUGGGAAUAGGCAUCAAAUCGAUCGGAUAGGGCACCCCAAAGAUCUCUAGAACACAAGUCGAAUACAUUGAUGAAGUAGAAACCCAUGCUCGUUGGUGAUAGAGACUCGUAACGGACACGAAAACUCCUCAACGGGCAUAUCAAACUCCAUACUGAACGAUCUAGAUACAAAAGAUCAAAUCGAACCCAAGCUAAACAACCCUAGAGUAGGAAAGGAGUUCAGUAGGAACGUCCCAGUCAAAACAUUUGGAGUUGCUCUGGCCUCAUUGGCAUUGAGCUUAAAAGCGUGACCUCAAUCCCUCAAGGGCUCCACACUCCCCUGGCGCCCAUCUGUGAUCCUCAAAGUAGCUGGCGUCGGGUCUGACGUCGACUUGGCGGCGAGCAAUGGACAUUAGACCAUCACAUGGCCAACCUAAUCAUAUUGAUAGCAAAUCCUGGUACUCGGAGUUGGGACUAUCUGGUGGCAAUCCCUUGCAUAGUGGCCCUCAUUUCCACAUUUAUGGCACACAUUACCUGAUCGACAGGCCCCCUCAUGAACCUUACCGCACUUCCCACAAGUGCGGCACCUCUGUCCUCCAUUCCUAGAAUCGGCGGCCUUGAACAGCUUCGACGCUGGCUACGACUGCACCGGGGCUGGUCUCUGCUCCCUUGUCUGCAACUCCAACUCAAUCUCAUGCUAUCAUGUGGACUACUGCAUUUCCAUCAAGGUAUCAUAGCGUUGGCUGGAAACAAACUGCCAGGUAUCCAUCUUGAGCAUACUCAAGUAAUGGGUCAUCUGAGCUUGUUCGGAAGCAAACUCAGGGCAAAAGAUGUCCGGGGCUGGUCUCUGCUCCCUAGAAUCGGCGGCCUUGAACAGCUUCGACGCUGGCUACGACUGCACCGGGGCUGGUCUCUGCUCCCUUGUCUGCAACUCCAACUCAAUCUCAUGCUAUCAUGUGGAGUACUGCAUUUCCAUCAAGGUAUCAUAGCGUUGGCUGGAAACAAACUGCCAGGUAUCCAUCUUGAGCAUACUCAAGUAAUGGGUCAUCUGAGCUUGUUCGGAAGCAAACUCAGGGCAAAAGAUGGCCCUCUCCAUGAACAUCCUGGUGAUCUCCGUCACCGACUCAGUCCCCUACUUCAGGUCCAAAAACUCCUGAGACAACCUCUCACGAUCCACUCACGACACAUAUCUGGUACGGAACAUCUCAAUGAACUUCCCCCAAGAUACCACAACUCUCUGAUCAACAACAUACGAUCCCGUAACAAGUUUACACCAAUCCUUCGAUCUGGACCUUAGAAGGUUCCGAGCACACCCGACCUUCUGGUCAGCUGGCCAGGAGCAGGUGAAAAACAUCCCUCUACGUUAGAUAGCCAACUGAUGGCUACGAUCAGGUCCUGAACUCCAUAAAAAGUCGAGGGCUUCAUAUAGUCAAAAUCCCGAUACUAAAAAACCCACCCGACACAAAUCCAUGCCGCCGCGACAGCUGCAUUAGCCGCAGCAGUAGCAGCCUCCGAAAAAGCAUCAUAUAUGUCAUCAAAGAACUCCAUCAACACAGACUUGAUAGAACUAAAAAGCUAUGAUAUCUGCCCUCCUCCCUCCCCGACAAUAGUCAUAAUCUCCUCAUGGAUAAUUUCUUUGAUGUAGUCCUCAGUCACAAUUGGCCCAUCCUGGUUGCCACCUCCUGAUCCUGACCCGGAUUCUGUCUCGAAACGUCUCGUCACCAUCAUACUAAAAAUAAAUCAGGGAUAUAUCAGAUAACACACAUAACAACAAGGGAACCAACUCCUAACAAAUCCCUAGGGGUUCUGACUUCCCCGGUACUCGUACGGGUCCUGUGCUUUCAGUAGUACGGGCCCAUACUACCUUCCACACCUACCCAUAUUCGUCCCAAAGUAUCAUCACAACAGCUCUAACAAUACAUACAAGCACACUCAACACUCGAUCCUCACUCCCUAGACGAAAGCUAAGCAUGACGAGACUGGCUGACUAACCCCACACAACUCAUCCAUGAAACUUCCACCAACCCUGCAACACUCGCAUAUGCUAAUCAUACAUAACACUGGACCCUAUAGACAGUCGAAUAUUUGAUCCUAUCCUAAGCCCUUCAUCAAACAAGAACAGGAAAUAGGGCCAAACCAAACAUUCUUAGGCUAUAGAAUCUUAGUUAUAUAUGACCAUAAUGCAUACACUAAGCAACUACAAUAAUGAUGUCAACUUCAUAUAAGGAAGAACCCUAGGCUAUCAGGCAUCAUACAUAUUCAGCCAAUUCCAUCAUGAAAUUUUCUAAAGAUUCAUAGCCUAUCACUAGGAAGAACCAAUGUGGUAUUUUUUGGGUCUACUUAGUGGCUCCGGCUAAUCAUACACCUUGCAUCCUCCUUGAUUAUUUUUGAAAAGAAUUUGGAAAAUUGUUUUAAAAAUAUAUUUCCUUAGUUUGAGACUGGAUUCACACAUAGCAUUCCUCCAAAUCAUCAUUGUUUACAAAAUAGUUUUCAAAACAUGCCUAAUAUCAAACUUUGUACAAAAUCACAAAACUAAACACGAGAAGGUGCAUGAUCAUGCUUUCACCUUUCCGUGAUCCUCUAAAGUACCUGAAACAUAAUCCAAAACCUUAAGCCGAAAGCUUACUGAGUUUCCCCCAAAGUACCAACACAACACAUGAUUAUAAUAAUAAUAAUAACAACAAAUAGCAUGCAUACAGAACCUUCAACAUGACUGGACCUCCUCACCGGGCCUUCAACCUAUCUGGACCAUUCUUCGAGCCUUCGGCCUGAAUGGUCCGCCUCACAGGCCUUCAAUCGUUCCGGGCCAUCCUGAGUCUGUUGGCCUUCAGCACAAAGCAGGACCGCCUCAACCCAACCACACAUACACUGUGUCGACACACACACACACACACACACACACAUAUAUAUAUAUAUAUAUAUAUAUAUAUACAUAUAUAUAUAUAUAUAUACAUAACAAACAAUCGUGCGAAUAACCUACCAAUAAUAAUCAGACAGAUCUCACAAAUUACUUAGCAUAGCAUCAUCCUAUCUACCAUGAUACAGAUCAGGCAGAUCACUACAGCACUCAAUCGUAUGAUAAACUAGGAUAACAAUCCAAAGGGCCGACAUUGGUUCCUUCGACCCGAAAGUACAGUGACGAAAACUUACCUCGCAAACUAAAUAGAAAUGAUGAGGCCCGACUCCGAAUCAUAACUCUCUACACGAUACCUGAUUCCAUUAAAUCACCAAUUUCCAUAAGACUCCAAAGUACCCUCAAGGUCAAACUUGGUCAAAGUCAAAGUCAACGAUCAAGGUCAACAGUCCGUGUUGACCCAACACACCAUGUUCCACCAGCAUCCAAAUAGUCGGGAAAACCUCAGCCAAUACGCUGUGUUGGCAUGUAAACAUGGCAUGUUUUCCCGAGUUGGAGCAGCUUAAUACAUUCAGCUGCUUUCUUCGAUUCCAAUAACUCUAAAGCUCAGAUCUAGUCCAAAAUGCUAUUAAGAAGGAUAAAGUUUCCAACUUUAUCUAUUGGGAUUACUCAAAUGGUUCAAAAACCCAACCACAAGGCUUGAAGAUAUAAGGGCUUAACCAAUAAGCACUUAAUCCUUAAAGUCUGCAACCCAUCCUUUCCAGAAGAGAUUCUAGCACCAAAACCAUCCUAGAGAUCGGUGCUUUAUAGACAUGCAUGUCUUGAACCCAUAAUAGGUUAAAAUGGGGAUUUAUGACCUAAUCUCUAUGCAUGACAUCAAAACUCAACUAUAGGCCAGAUCGAAGACUCUACUAGGUGACCUAGACUUCGAGAUUCUUAAAGUUGCAAAUUUUAUGAGAUCUAACCAUCCCAACCUUCAAGAAUAAGAAGCUAAAGGGGCAAAAAUAAAGAUCUAGCAACAUGGAAGAAUAAAAAUCGGAUCUUGGACACUUACAAAGGUCCAGAAGAGUGACAAACUGAAAGAUGAGGACUUGCUUUUUGGAUCCUUGCUUCCUUCUUCCAACUUCUUCCUUCCUUGGCUUCAAAAACAUCACAAUAGCUCAUAAAUGAGAGGGAAAGAUAAUUAGGGUUUUCAAUUGUCGAUGUGAGGGAAUUGGAUGUUGAUAAAAGGGCAACUCGUGGGACUUAAGGAGAUUAUAUAGGGUGCAAACCCUAAAAAUUAGUAUUUUCUCAACCAGCCGCCAACACGCCGUGUUGGUCCAUGAAGAUACGCGACCCAAAAGUUCUCAACACACCAUGGUGAGGCUUCACCGCGCCGUGUUCCAAGGGAAAGACAUGCAUAGAUGGAAUUAAUUUCAUACCUAAAAAAUCAUGAUGUUAUAUAUANNNNNNNNNNNNNNNNNNNNNNNNNNNNNNNNNNNNNNNNNNNNNNNNNNNNNNNNNNNNNNNNNNNNNNNNNNNNNNNNNNNNNNNNNNNNNNNNNNNNNNNNNNNNNNNNNNNNNNNNNNNNNNNNNNNNNNNNNNNNNNNNNNNNNNNNNNNNNNNNNNNNNNNNNNNNNNNNNNNNNNNNNNNNNNNNNNNNNNNNNNNNNNNNNNNNNNNNNNNNNNNNNNNNNNNNNNNNNNNNNNNNNNNNNNNNNNNNNNNNNNNNNNNNNNNNNNNNNNNNNNNNNNNNNNNNNNNNNNNNNNNNNNNNNNNNNNNNNNNNNNNNNNNNNNNNNNNNNNNNNNNNNNNNNNNNNNNNNNNNNNNNNNNNNNNNNNNNNNNNNNNNNNNNNNNNNNNNNNNNNNNNNNNNNNNNNNNNNNNNNNNNNNNNNNNNNNNNNNNNNNNNNNNNNNNNNNNNNNNNNNNNNNNNNNNNNNNNNNNNNNNNNNNNNNNNNNNNNNNNNNNNNNNNNNNNNNNNNNNNNNNNNNNNNNNNNNNNNNNNNNNNNNNNNNNNNNNNNNNNNNNNNNNNNNNNNNNNNNNNNNNNNNNNNNNNNNNNNNNNNNNNNNNNNNNNNNNNNNNNNNNNNNNNNNNNNNNNNNNNNNNNNNNNNNNNNNNNNNNNNNNNNNNNNNNNNNNNNNNNNNNNNNNNNNNNNNNNNNNNNNNNNNNNNNNNNNNNNNNNNNNNNNNNNNNNNNNNNNNNNNNNNNNNNNNNNNNNNNNNNNNNNNNNNNNNNNNNNNNNNNNNNNNNNNNNNNNNNNNNNNNNNNNNNNNNNNNNNNNNNNNNNNNNNNNNNNNNNNNNNNNNNNNNNNNNNNNNNNNNNNNNNNNNNNNNNNNNNNNNNNNNNNNNNNNNNNNNNNNNNNNNNNNNNNNNNNNNNNNNNNNNNNNNNNNNNNNNNNNNNNNNNNNNNNNNNNNNNNNNNNNNNNNNNNNNNNNAUAACUUCUUGUGGUAAUGGAAAAAAAGUUUUUAAGUCUUCUCAACUUUUACCUUUUAACAAAAAAAAAAUACCUAAAUUAAAAAAAAAGUUAGCAUGAGUUUAAAGUUUUUAUUUAACAAAGAGUUUUAAAUCCAAAAGCUAAUUUAAGUAGAUUUUCAUAAAAAAACACCAAAAUAUUUUAACAAAUUUACUUGAAUAUCCUUUAGAAAGAAAUUCAUACCAUAUUUCCUAUGAUCCAUCAAAUGACUUCUAGUUCAGUGGUAUUAUGUUUUGUCAUCACUCUUUGAGGUUAAGGUUGAAGUCUCAUUAGAGCCACAUGUAGAUUUAACAGUAAUACAGUAGAAGUUAGAUUUGGCGUUCAAAUUUUUUUUUUCCUAUGAUCCAAUUAAAACUCAUGUUUGGUUGAAAUCAUCUAAUACCUUUAUCUUUAACUGAUUAAUACCUUUAUCUUUAACUGAUUAAAACUCAAUUAAUAAUAUGUCUAAAUUAGUUUGAUAUGUUUAGUAAUGCAGGCCCAUUCAACAUGGGUCAUUCCAUAUAGACAAGAUAACUUAUUUCGAAUUAAUGAAAAAACCAUCAUAUAUAGAUAUAUGCUUUUAUGGUUAUUAUAGUUUAGAAAAUUAAUUUUUCAUGAUUAUGUUCUAAUAUUAGAUUUUACAUUAAAUAAUUUUAUAUAUUAUUCAUGUUACAUAUGAAGAACAUUCAUUCAAAUAAAAGUUAUAGUUUUUAGUUUCUAGCUUCCAGUUUUCAGCUACUGGCUACAAUAUAACUAUUUUUGUCAAACUCGCCGUCAAUGUAUUUUCUAGUGUUCAGAUUGGAUUUGGCCUAAGGGUAUUUAAAAUGCUCUAAGCAGCAGAUUUUUAAGAUUUUUUUAAAAAGAAUUUAUAAAUAUGUAUCAUGCCAAGAUAUACUUUAAGCCAUAGUUUUAUGGAUAACAAAAUAACUAGUGUCAUUUGUGCAAUGCAACGGGGCUAUUCUAGGCCAUGUAUGGUGUUAAAGUUUACACAUUGUUGUCCCAGGAUGAACCUCAAAGAGUGACAGCAUUACAGAAUUUAUAAUGAAAGCCCCAUGCAGUUAUGCAUUCUGCCACUAAAAGUGAAUAUGGUUCUAUUUAUAGGCCAUAAGAGUUAAAGUAGUCAAAUAUUCUUGUUUUUCCUAUAUCAUACCAAUUAGUUUAACAGCUUACAUUUAAGUCCUUCCAAUGCCAUUCUGGUAUAUGGUCAAAGUCACUUAAUUAUUAUCGCAUCUUUGAAAGGUUAAGGUUAAUAAUAGCAAUUAAUAUACUUUUCAUUUUUUCCACUUAGGUCGAUGAAUGUUGUACCGUAUAACUCAUUGUACUUUAACCAAUUCAAGAUGUGUUCAUGUGACAUCUUCACGGCCAAACAGAUGAUCAGCAUUUUGCAUUACCAAUUUAACUAAAUAUACAAUUAUAUUAAUCAUCAAACACAAAAAUACACUUAUUUAUAUAUAUAUAUNNNNNNNNNNNNNNNNNNNNNNNNNNNNNNNNNNNNNNUAUAUAUAUAUAUAUAUAUGUAUGUAUAUAUAUUAAAUUACAUGGGUCCCCUCACAACCUUUUCUCCUUCCGACUUCAUCAAUCACAUCUCUUCCACCUGUAAUUUGUUUCUUUAUUCUCUUCUUUCUGAUCACUUUGAUUCUAUAUGGUAGUAGAAAACCUCAAAACGACAAAAACCUAAGCUCACGAAGGAUAGUUGUGAUAAGUUGCCAGAAAAUAUUGUAAUCAAAGAAGGGUAAUUAAAUGGGGAAAGGGGAAAGGGUUAUGGUUAUGAUGUGACCCAUAUAAUUUACAAAUCAAUAAACUAUUUAUAUAAAUUGGUAAUGUAAAGCAAAUAUAAACUCAAUAAUAAUAAUAAUAAUAAUAAUAAUAAUAAUAAUAAUAAUAAUAAUUCAUCUUUAUAUUUAAAUUUAAUUAAGAAAAGGCAUAUAAGCAAAAUAUCGACAUGUCAUUGUCAUUUGUUGCUAUUAGAUGACCUCAACCACUUUAUGAAGUUUCAAAUAAUUACACUAGACCCGACAUUAGCAAAAUUUACAUGUUCCUAUAUAUUCAAUAAUAAUAAUAAUAUUUAAAUUUAUAUUUUAAUUGAACUUCCCAUAUUUUUAUCUUAUGUAUGUAAUGUAGUAAAUUUUAAGAUAAUUACCUUCUUUACAGGUUUGGCUUUUAAACUUAGAUAAUCCCACAUAUCUAAACGAGGGCCAUUUUUAUUCAUAAUCUUUUUCCCCUAAUCCUAGUUUCACUUAUUAUGGACCAAUAUCUGGCACCCGUAUGGUUGUAUCCCUACAAAAUAUAUCAUCCAAAAAGUGGAGAUAAUAUACUCAUAUAUAUAUGUACCUUAUCUUGUCAUGUGAUUGUACGUCACUAGAAACAAGCAUAAUUAACUCAAUAUAUUCAGAAGUUUUGAAGUUAAUGAUGAAAAUCCAAUUGCUUAAAAGAAAAAACAAACUAAUGCAAGUUCUUCUCACCCAGAGAUCCAGCUAGACAAAUAAAAGGGAUAAGAUUCUUGUAGUACCAUUAGUACAUGCAUAAAAGCAUUAAUAUCAUACAUGGGUGUCCACAUAUACCUAAUUCCAACAAGUAUGUCGGUGUAAAUCUUCAUGAAAAUCAUGUCAAAAAGGUAAACAAGGUGUACAACACCAUUUUAAACCAUAUAAAUCAUCCACACAAGGAACUCAAAAUCAACAACAUCAAGAUUCAAGAUUUGUAUCUAUCCUUAUUUCGAGUAAAGAGCCAACCAUUUAGGCAAAUGCCAGGCAAUAUUGUUGUCUCCACAACCUGCAAAAGGGGUACUAUAUAUGGCCUAUAAACAAACAAAUGGCGUCAUCAUGAAUUUCACUUACAUUAACCUCAUAUAUAUUACUUCAUAUAUAUCAAGUUGAACAUGAAUAAUAUUGAUUAUUUUUUUUUUUUAUAUGUUGACAUUGAUUUUACAUGAUUGACAAGUCACCAUCAGCAUAUCAACACUCGAGCAGACUAAACUUGGCGUAAUUAAAUGCAAAAAAAAAAAGGCAGAGUAGAGCCAAGAAAUAAUCCAGACGAUAGAAAAUGGAUUAGGACACUUCAAAGAUUAUAAAUAAGUUGAAUAAAAAUAUUAAAACAAAGAUUUAAAUUUCUGUAACUUCAGUUAAAACUCACAAUAAAUAUAGAAAACUCUAAGAAACUAUUUGAUAGUUGCUAAUUGAAUGGAGGCCUCACUCAAAAGACCUAUUCCUAUUGAAUCCAGCAAACGUUUAAUGCAUGUAAAAGAAAAGGAAAAAACAAAGAGAGAAUCAUAAUUGGGUAACACGUGUUAUGGUUUUUUUUAAACGAUGAACAUAUAUAACAAAUCAUUGUACGGAAACACAGAUGGCCAGCUAUAUAAAAUUUGGAAUUUUGUUAGUACGAAGUACAUCUCCGGAUAACCUAUGAAAGGCUAUAUCUUUUCAAGUGAACUCUAAAACCGGUAAGAUUGGGUUUUGAGAAGUUUUGUAUGUUUAAUAAUUUAAUCUCAUCACUGGACCCCACACUAGCAUAUGCUUAUCUUUUAAGGCAGUGAGUUUCUAGAUUUACCUAACUAGCUAGAGACUAAAAACUGCACACACAGAUAUACCAAAUCACGUGCAAGUAGUGUCAAAAAUCAAAACUUUGAAGUUUGUAUAUAUGCUAUAUAAGGAAUAAAAGAGUUAGAGGAAACUUUCCUAUGUCAAGUGUAUGAUAUUGUUAAGAGAUCAUAAAUAUUUGGUGAAAGGGAAAAAUAACAAGAUAAAUGGUUCUUGAAGAUAUUGAUUCUUCAAUAUUCUUCUCGUUUUGCAAUCUUUAUAUAUAGGCCAACUAGCAUGACCCCACUACCCCCUCCCUCCCUUUGUUUCUGGAGCUUAUAAAAGACACGCAUUGCCACCUAUUCACACAUAUCAGUUCUCUUGAGAGUUUACUUUAAAGAGUCUUCAGCCAAUCCUACCCCUACCUAACACAUCAUCCAUCUCCCUCUCCAUAUUUGUUUACUAUGGCAUCUAGCUCAAUGUCUUCACGUGGGUCGGGUUCAUGGACUGCUAAACAGAACAAAGCCUUUGAGAAGGCUUUGGCUGUGUUUGACAAAGAUACCCCUGAUCGAUGGCAUAAUGUAGCCAAAGCUGUUGGUGGCAAAACAGCUGAGGAAGUGAAGCAGCAUUAUGAAGUCCUUGUGGAGGAUGUGAAGCACAUUGAAAAUGGUCGAGUUCCUUUCCCUAAUUACAGGAGAACCACCGGAGGGGGAUAGCUAAGUUAGCUUAAGGUAAUACAACCUACACUACUAAUCCACAAUCAAAUCAAUUAUUUCAUGUACUAAAAAGUCUUUUCGCUUAUUUCACUAUUUCAAGCCUAGCUAUCAUCUUUUAUUGUGAGCCACACAAAUUUCCAAUAAGGGGAAGCUACUUUAGUUUGCAUGGUUUGAGUAUAUAUUAUAUAUCAUGUGGUGGUUGACUCGUGUCCAAAAGUCAAACAUCACAGUUACCAAAAAGGGCUAUUACCUAAAUAAAAUUGAUGCCCCAGCUCCAACUUUUCAAUCAUGAAAGCAACAUGUGGAAUAUAAUUUUGUGUUUGCAGCUUUUUCUGAUCACUUGCAAACUUGCUAUGGCGUUUAGUGCCAAAACUGUGGAGAUAGAUUACACUAAAAGCAUGAAUCAACAAACAUUUGUUUAAGUAAAUUCAUAAUUCAUCAUCCAUAUUCAUGAAUAUCUUCAUCUAAAAUGCAGGAUAAUGAAUCCAAAACGCGAUGAAGAAAAGCACGGACAUGGAGAACUAGCAACAAUAAAGAUGCAACGAUUAUCGACUUCGAUGCAAGCAGAUGUAACUAGUAAUUUGAAAUUCCUUGAUGCAAUUUUAUUUUCUGCUAUAAGUUUAGCAGAAAAGCUCUUUUUUUCUUCCUAUGCUAAUUGUAUAUGUUGAUGGAGUGAAUUCACACGUGAACUGUGAUUCAUCGCAACUUGUUCGAUCAAAUGUAUGUUGAUUAUAUUGGUUUUGAAUUAUACAAAUCGAUUUGCAAAACAUAACAUAACGAAUCUUACAACCAGAAUACAUACAAAUUGAAGAGAUUGAUGGAGGCAUGUUAAGGUUUUAAUAUCUUCUAACCUUCGAAACUUGAUUAUCACCUUUAAUGCUUCGUAAUUUAUUUAAAGACGAAGCUUUUUUUUUUGGAACCGGCAAAUAUAUUAAAAAAAGCACCAACCCUAGCAAGGCGCUAGAGGAAGGAGAAAAAAACAAAAGACAAAGUUCAAAUUACAAACAAUUUAACGGGGAGCUAAUCCUAUCACCCCAAUUAAAACAACACCUGUCAUAUCUAUGUUUAACCCACAGAAAUGUCAUAGACUUAAUCGAAUCGAUAACCUUAAUCGGAUCAACAAUAACGUCAUUGAAAGUUCUAUCAUUACUGACAUGCCAAAUCGCCCACAAAGCACCAUAGAGGAUCGAGAACAGAGCCUUCUUCUUGCGAUUGGAACCCAUAAUCUGAGGGCCUCAUCAAUAAUCCUCUAACCAAGUUUGCAAUUAUCUUCCCAAUGCCGCACCACAUCGCCAGACUCCUCCACACAUGAUCCGCAAACGAGCAGUCCACUAGGAGAUGGUCGGAAGUUUAUAACCUCGAGAUACAUACACUACACCAUUAGGAGUCUACCUUAAUAUUCCUGCGGCUAAGAGCCAACAAAGUUGGGAUUCGACCCAAUCUAGCUCGCCAAGCGAAACAUAGAACUUUAAUUGGCACCCACUUAAAGACGAAGCUACAAGGCGAAAAAAGAUAAUUGGCCUUUGGGAUCCAUAAUAUAUUGAACUCAUUAAAGGUUAGUGGAUUCGCACAUCAUUAUGUUAUUCUUCAUAAAACUCUACCAAAAUUUCCUACAAUGCAAUGAACUUUAUAAAUUUCAAUGAAAUAUUUUCUAAUAAUUAAAAGGUUUUAUUUUUCCAUUUACUUUGAAGAGGUCAAUAAUCACUCAACUUCAUAUUUAUUAAAUGACAACAUCACAUCCCAAAAUGACAGAUUUUAGUAUAUUGAAUGACAAUUAGACAUAUCACAGUCCUUCAGCUUUUCAUUAGUUUUGUUUAUUCUCACUUAAGAAAACUAAUAUGCCAUAAGGUAUAUAUGUAUAUAUAUAUAUAUAAAUUGCUAGAAUUGGACUAGAAUAAGGAAACAAAUAAAAUAAGGAUAAACACUACGAAAAGAUAAAUACAGAAUCCUUGAAAUUAUUCAAUCCCCCCUCAAGUUGUACAGUAAAGGUCGCGAACGCCUAACUUUGUAUGCAAAUAAUGAAACCAAUCAGUUCCAUGUGGUUUGUUAAAAAUGUCAGCAACUUGUUCUGUAGUACGAAUAGCAUGCGACUGAAUGUGUUGAGUUUCCACAUGCUCUUUGAUGAAGUAGCAAUCCAUCUCAAUGUGUUUUGUUUCGCACAACAACCAAUGAAACCAUAAAUCUCACUAACAGUGGUAGCCAUGACCCGAUAUUAUGCUUCCGUUGACGAUCGAGAGAUAACAAAUCAUUUCUUUGUUUUCUAGACAAUAGGAGCACCCUCAAGAGAAAUAAAAUAAUUGGUUUUGGAGCAAUGUGUGAUUGGACACCCAACCCAAUCUGAAUCGCAAAAAGCAUUCAAGGUUAGAUUUCCAUGUGGGGGUAAGAAAAUGCCUUGGCAUGAGUAGUUUUUAGGUAACUUAAGAUGCGAAUUUCAACAUAAAUAUGCAAAUGCCUCGGAGAAGAAACAAACUGACUUAAGAUGUUAACUGUUUGGUUGUUAAACCAACAAAUAAAGGGAUAAAAUAAUAAUAAUAAAUAAGUCACUGAUACUAUAUACUAAGAGAUAGUAUAGAAUAAAUAGGGUCAAACCACUGAGAUACAUGACUUAAUGUUUAACAAUAUUUUCACACGACACAAUAUCACCGGUUGUCAAAAAGGGGGAUUUUAGUUGACAUCAAAUUAAACUUCAUAAAUAAACAAAUUAAAGACUAAAAAUAGUGAUUAAAAGACACUUUCGAUUCCAAAUCCUAUUCAAGUACCACGUCGUUAGAUGUAGUAUGACAUCAAUUCAUGUUUAAUGUAUUUUGGUAAUUAAGAUAUUGAUAAGCUCUAAUAUCUCAAAUUGCCAAUUAUAUUUUACCUAAAACAUGAUCUUCAAGUAAAACUUCACCUAGUUGAUUCAAAACAUAUAAGCUCUUGGAUUAAAUCACUAAAUGACUUUAAGUUCAGGCAAUUAAUACCAACAAUGUUCAAUAUGCCUCAUAUGCUCGGGACUGUAAAAACAUCUAAUCUUUAAUUAUACAAAUUUUGAGUUAAUUAAAACCAAUUAAGUGUUUGUCACUUGCUCCAAAUCAUAAAACAUAUACAAAUGUCAUAAUUUGACUAACAAGAAUGAUAUGAACCCUAAUUUCAUUGAUCAAGUGAAAAGAGUGCAAUCCAAACAUAUAAUGAAAACCAAAUCAAGGAUUACUAUAUAUAAACAUAAAUCUAGUACAUAAAACAAUCUAAAAAACAAGUAAUUAGGAUUCUAACUGGAAAUGGAAGGAAACGUUAGACAUAAUGGCUAAAUUAGAACACAAAUUCAACAAGUUUAAUCUUCAAACUAACUUACAAAUUCGAAAUAUAAAUGUUUCCAAAGUUCUAAGUGACGAUAAUAUGUAUGAAAACCACCCCUUGCAAAUUCUUGGUUAAAGUUCUCUUCAAAAGGCCAAGGAACCUCUUUUAAUCAAAAGUUAAAAAUCACAAAAAAACCGUCAGACUCGAUUCCAAGCCCUUGGAAUGGCAAGCUUUGAGAUUCCAUGCUCUCAGAAUGGUAAAAUGCUGAGAGCCCCAUUCCACGGCCGUGGAAUGGGCAAUGUAAUCAUUCCACGCCCAUGGAAUCUCCUGAUAGAAGUCCAAAUCCAAAAUUCGCGUUUUCUUAAAUCUUGCUCUCAUACUUCUGAAACUUCGCGUAGUGCCUCCCUUGAACAUCCUAAGAAUUCUUCAAUCCUUAAACACCCUUGAAACACCCAAAAAAUGGUGAAAAGUAAAUUGAUUCUUAAAAAUGUUCCGAAACUGAAAAUGCAUGUAAAUUUAAACUAAAUGUUAUGCAAUACUUGAAUUGAACAUGAAAUAAACAUGUAAAAAGGUGCACUUUAUGCACCUAACAUUAACUGCAAGGGUAACAUCUGGUCGUGUAACUUGCAAGUAAAGAAGCAUGUCUAUGAGUCAUAAAUAUUUUCCAACAUCGACCAAAUGAGAGUUGGUGGAGUCGUCAAUGUAAGUGUUUUAUUCCAUCGGAAAGGAAUUGGGGCGACAACCCUAAAGACCACCGUCGCUAAGGAUGCCCAAAGUAUACUUUAUUUGGAUGAGUACCAUACCACCAUCAGAAGUUCAAGUAACUUCGAUGCCAAAAAGGUACUUCAAGGGCCUGAAGUCCUUCACACUGAAUUUUCAAGCUAAAUAAGAUUUAACAUUGGUGAUAUGUUCAUUAUUGUUGCCAAGUAAAAUUAUAUCAUCAACAUAGAUGAGAGCAGCCACAUAUAUGUUGUCCCUUUUAAAAGUAAACAUGGAAUGGUCGGCUUUAGAAUGUUUAAAACCAAUUUUCAAAAGAGCCUCUAUGAACUUUCUAUACCAAUUUUGAGAUGUUUAACGGAGACCAUACAAGGACUUUCUAUGUCGACAUACGUGAGUAUCAUUGGCUUUAGAAAUCAUUGAGGAACCGUUAUUACUUCUUUUGCAAAGUCUAUGUGUAACAACGUAAAUUUUCAAAUAAAAUUUUCAUUUAAAAUCACAUGAUUCUCAUAACACAUUUCACAAAAAAUCUCAUUUAUUUAAUUUACAAAUCGCAACUCCAUAAUUGUUUGAUUAAAAUCUAGCAUCUUCGAAACAUAACUCUUUCACUGAUGUGUACAAUCAAGUCGGUGUCUUCCCGCAAUCCUGAGAAAACCUGAAACACAUAACACAUAACACGAUAAGCACGAAGCUUAGUGGGUUCCCCAAAAUACCACAUACACAGAUAAUAAGCCUCUCAUGGCUAUAGCUCGUUGGAACCUCUGGUCUGGUCUCAAUGUGGACCCUCCAGUCUCACGGCUCGUUGGACCCUCCGGUCCGGUCUCAGUAACACAUAAUAUACCAUACAUAUAUCACACAGACAAGAUGUAUAAAUCAAGUAAACACAUCAAGCAAUCAAUCAUCCUCGAACUUGAAUCUCGAACUAGCCACUGCUUACCACAUAGGGUAAAUAUCUCUAAUUAAUACUCGAUUCUCGACUCUAAGUAACCAAAUAUUAUUCUUCUCUCUCUAACUCUUGAAUUGGAUAAAAGACCAUUUUACCCCUCCAUGGUCUCCAUUACUCAUGUUGACAAACUCUAAAGUCAACAGAACUCAAACUCGAGUCAACAGUCCAUGUUUGACCUGACUCGUCGAGUCCCCUCAUUUCCUCAGAAUUCUCAAGAAAGUCCAACUCAACUCGUCGAUUUGACCCCCAACUCGCCAAGUUAUCGCACGAUCAAGCUUACCGGGACAAACCCUCACCGACUCGUCGAGUCAGGCCAUGGACUCGGCGAGUCCCUUCGAUCUGAUUUCUCAUUCAAACGAUUUAAGGCAAAUCUAUAACUCAAAACACUAGAUCUACCAUCCUAAGGCUCGAUUGUCACGUAAAGCUUCGAUCUUUACACUCAUGCAUGCUGGUUUUGCGCCAAACUACCAAUACAUGUUCUCAUAAGGUGUUAAACACCAUACUCCUCAUAUGGAUGAAUAAAGUUGGGACUUUUGGGCUCUAGGGACCUCACAAAGUCCAGAUGUGAGGUUUAACACUCAAGAUAACUUAGUAUUCUCGAAUUCCAAAAUAAUAUGUGAUGAAAACCCUAACUUGUUAACUCAUGAGAUCUAACCAAAUAAAGGGGAAAGGUUCAAGCUUUUUACCUUCCUCUUGAAGCUCUGGACAAAAUGGCCUGAACCCCAACAACUCCUGCCUGUUCCUUGCUGAAUAAACUCCUCUUCCUCCUCAAAAAUGCACUAAAAUCCUUCAAGUCUAGCUUAGAGACUCUCUUAGCUCACUACACUCACUUAGGGUUUCACAUAGAAGGGUUAGGCAGGUGGUGAGGCAGAAAUGGGGGCAUAAGUUCCCUUAUAUAUGCCCCAACACCGAGAAAUUAGGGUUUCUCUGCCCAGCACCUACUCGGCGAGUUGGCUCUCUGACUCUGCGAGUCCAUUCAUUAAACCUUCACAGACAACUCGACUCUGCUCGACGAGUUGGACUCACAACUCAUCGAGUCACUCCAUAAAUCUCAAAAAUUAAACAUAAAAUAAUAUACCUGAAAGUCCGGAUGUUAAAAUUCUCCCCCACUAGAAUUAGAUUUCGCCCUCGAAAUUGCUUCUCAACGUCACAUAGAUCGAUCCUAAAAACCCGAAAAGUACCAUUGAAAGGAUCUUAUACCACAUAGCUAACUUCCUCCAUGGACACCUAAAACCAAACAGGAACUCCCAAACCCGGAAGAGGAAAUACCCUUCUGCCGCUACGAUACCCCUUCUGACUAUCCAGAAUCUGGAAACUCUAGUGGCCUGUCUCACUGGCAGACCGCCCUCUCAAGCUAUCACCAUGUUAUUCGCUCCUCGAAUAAUAGACCCUAAUGACUCACUGCCCCUCUAUUCUCUCGUUGCAACUGAUAGAAAAAGUCAAAGCCCAAAAAUUAGCUACCGAUCACUCAUACCAGACAUACUAAACGAUCCAUACCAUACUCCAAGGAACAAAAGGGUCACAUUACACCAAAGACCCAUCCACUGUACUACAAUUGAAACCCAUCUGAACAAAGAACUCUCAACACCUUGUCCUCAGACACAAGAAAAUGAUCAUGCUUGCUCAGAAGUAUCCUCUGACAUCUAACAAUCAUAAGCCCCAGCUCCCUCUCACAUAUCCCUUUCAACACUGAGCAUCAGGUCAACUCCUGACCCCACAGUUGAACCUCCAAUGGUUACCCAUUGCAUGCUCUAAAACGUCUCACUGACUUCCUUCUCACAACAACCAUCUCGGCCCAUUAUGACACACAAGUCAUGAAGUACGCUUUACCCCAAGCGAAUACUACAAUCCCAACUGAAAUCAUCUCACCCUCGACCUUUUUCAUCUACUACUCAUUAGUUCCAUGCGUCUUACGAUCCUUCCCAUACAAAUGAACUGACCCACUCAGGUCUAAGACAUCGGAUGACACACAAUACCCCUAAAAAGAAACCCAUCUCUGAAUCCGGAAUCUCAUUCGCCUACUCAAUACACCACCAAAGCCAAACUCGAACUCGAGAGUCUGGUCCGAUAUAGAAUUGGAACCACUCGUCCCAAUGAAGCACUCCACUCAUGACCCAUGACCCACAACGCAUGCGUACAUCACUUCUCCAAUUCCUUUCGAUUGCGAUAUCCACAACUUAACUCAGAAUAUAACGAUUACCGAUAAAUAUGGAGACCCCAGUCUCGCCCCUGGUCCGACCACCAGGUUCCCGCACUCAAAGAAUAAGGCUACCCAAGCCUAAAAACACUUCUGCGUCAUGCAACGACUAGCGAAUAAUACGGCUCCCCGUAGUAUCAUAACAUUCCCUCUCAUUAACCCGUGAAGGCUACGGCUCCCCGUAGGCCUACGACAUUCUCUCACUUACUCAUGAAUACUAUGUCUCCCCGUAGUAUCACAACACUCUCUUGCUGACUGGUGAACAUUAUGGCUCCCCGCAGUGUCACAACACUCUCUCGCUGACUGGUGAACAUUAUGGCUCCCCGCAGUAUCACAACACUUUCUCGUUGACUGAUGAACACUACGGCUCCCCGUAGUAUGACAACACUUUCUCGCAGACUGGUGAACACUAUGGCUCCCCGCAGUAUCACAACACUCUCUUGCAGACUGGUGAACACUACGACUCCCCGUAGUAUCACAACACUCUCUUGAAGACUGGUGAACACUACGGCUCCCCGUAGUAUCACAACACUCCUUCUCACUGUCUCGCCAUGGGCUCACUCCAUGGUUUUCCCUUGAUAAUCUGAAGUGAUUACUCCCAAUCAGAUCCACUCACCCUCUUAUCCCCCAUAAUCUCCUCCUCGAGUCAUUACCCCACUCAGUUCACUAUCGAAUACUCCACGGUUCAACAUAGAUAGGUACACACACCCACCCAGGUUAAGCAUCACCACUCCUGACGAAAACCGUCGUGACCAACACUUUUUCUCAUUGCAAUUCAUAUUCUUGGACGCUCUCGUUUGAUGACAAUUAGCUGAAGGGCUCCCGCUGGAACCAUAGUCACUUGAUACUCCACUUGCCAUCUCAUAACUCAAAUCUCAAAAUAAUCCGAAAUUCAGGGGAUUCUACUCAGAUACCUCGGUACACCAUCACAGAACCUCACGAUGCCUAGCCUCAACCAUUGAUCUCCUACUUACUGCAUCGUACUCAGAUACAACAAUGCACCCUUUCAGAAUCUCACAACUGAUCUUCCUCUCAAACAACUCUUAACUUCAGAAUAUUCCAACUCUCAAUUGAAACACAGAGGAAUCGUCAAUGACUCAGAACAUGUUGACAACCAUUCGAAACUCCCUCCUCUAUUGCUCAAAACCCAUGCAAGAAUACACAUACUGACAAUGAAGUUGGUUGCCCAAUCAACUUCUACCCUUCCCAUAGUGCAUAUAACAACCCAUAAAUUGAACCAUAAAUUCUUAACUGCCGAACUAUCCUUAUGAGCCACCCACCUCAAAUUUACUAUUUCAACCUCGAAGAAUUUCCUAACCACCACAACGUCUCUGACCAACGGCCACCUGCCGUGGAGACACUCGUCAUUUCCUGAACACGUACUGUUGGAUUAGUGUCUAAGCCCAUAACUAUUAUUGGUAUGUACUUGACUCGACGCGAGCAUGGUCCUUUUGGGUUGCCUUCACCAAAGCAACUUAAUAGGAUGACUUAUGGAGAAAGAGAUUAAUUAUGAUUUAUUAAUAUAUUAUAUGAAUAAUAUAUUAAAAGAGAAAUUAGAUUGUUUAAUUAAUAUUAGUCAAGAAUUAAUUAGGAAAUUAAUUUUGUGACUAAAAGACUUUAAUUAAACUUGGGGGACUGAUAUUGUAAUUAUAAGAUAAUUGCAAUUGGGCUAUGGAUCACCUUGGAACAUAGGUUGGACGAAUUCUAUGGGAAGCCCAUAAGGAAUUCGUCCAAGGGGUGUUCCAAAGGGAGUCCAUGGGUUGUUUAGGGCCUAAGCAGUCGGAUUAGGGUUUCCUAGUUCAAAACCCUAAUAGCCUCACAUAUUUAAGGACCCCUAGGGCACCAAAAACGAGGCUAAGGUUCCCUUAGGAUUCUUGGACGAAUUUUGGUGCCUCCUUCUCUUCUCCAAAGUCAUCAUCUUGCUCUUGGUGUUUGAGAGCCAUUAGAGGUGUGACAUUUGUGACACUAAGCUUUCAGAAGUCAAUUACAAGGAGGAAUCGAUAUUGUUAUUACUACAUAACAAUCAAGGUAAGAUCUAAACCCUAUUAUUAUGUUAAUAUCGAUUAUCACAUGCUAUAUCUAGGGUUUANUAUCGAUUAUCACAUGCUAGAUCUAGGGUUUAUGGCUUUGGAUGAUUAUUGCAUGUUCAUUAGACAAACUAGAUCCAAAGCUUUAGGGUUUGCAUGUACACCAUAGGAAUGAUGUAGUGCUCAUAACCCAUCAGUGGUAUCAAAGCCUAGGAUGAUUUAUUCUAAUGUAUUUGAUGCAAAGUUUUUUCUUUCAAAGCUGAAAAUUUUCUUUUUUUCGAAUUUAACCAGUUUCACAUCGUGAACAUGUUGUUCAUGUCGUGAACCCAAUCUAACUGCAUGAUUUCGAAAAUCUUGCCUUAAUUUGUUUUGGAUUAUUACCAUAAAUUACAUUAUUCAAAUAAAAAUCAGAUUUUUUGUUAUGGUAAUUGAUAUCCUAAUCAAAUUAAUGGAUAAUUGUCGAAAUUAAGAUAAUUAUUUGUUUUAUUAGAUAAAGAUUGAUUAUUUGUAAUUUUGAUUUGAAUUAUCUCGUGAAAAAAAAAUUAAAUUAGGUCAAAUUUAGAUAAUUCAAAUUAUUUGAUUAAUUUAAUUAUUUGUAAUUUGAUCUAGAUAGUUUUGAAAAGUUUCAAGACUUGCUCUCAAGUUUUGGAAUUAAAAUUUUUUGAUUAAAAAGUUUAAUUUUGAAAUAUUUAAACUCUAAACCAUAAUGAUUUGAAAUGUUUCAAAGCUUGCCCUCAAGUUUUGGAAUUUAAAUUUUAAUUAAAAGGUUUAAUUUUAAAAUGUUAAAUUCUAAAACCCUAAUUUUGAAAAGUUCAAAUUGCACGCUUAUGGUUUUAUUAAAUUAAUUAAGUGUAUAAUUAAAAGAAAGUUAAUAAAUCCAUAAUGAUAUGGUUUACAUUUAAUUAAAUUAAAAGUGUAAUUUGUUAAAUUAGACCACAUAGUAUUUUAAAAGUGUAAAUUACACCCUAUAUUAUAUAUAACAUUAAAAGUCUAAUAUUAUAUAUGUAUAACUUAAACCGCUAGUCUUACCGUUAGUAGGCCUCAUUCACGAAACCGAUCUAUAAGGGAGGUAUAAGGUUAUGGCCUAUAAAAUGGCCGUUUAAUGGGUGUUCACUCUCACCCACCGCUUCCUUGAUUGGUGGAGGGUCGUUAGCCGAAUGGGUAGGAUAGGGCAAACCCUCUCCUCAUUAAAAGUAUAAUGAAUGUUAAAGUAACUAAAUGUUUUACAAAGUUCUCAAUCUUAGUUAUUUUAGGCAAAAGUGAAUUGAUACAAUUCCAUGAAAUUACACUUUGUACCCUUGGUAAGACGUUAGUGGAGCGUGUGUGGUUAACCGGCACACUAAAUGGGUUCUAAGCAAAGAUAGCAAAGGGUGACUCGCUGUUUGUCAUAGUUCGGUGGAGUGUGUGUGGUUAACCGGCACAUUGAAUAGAUGACUGUAACAUUGGGGGCACCAUGUAUAUUUGCAUGGUUAUUCACACCCUGUUUUGUGAUCCUCGGCAUCCCAGUCACAAAUUUAGGGGCAUAUCGAGAUUUAAACAUGCCAUUGAAAAGUUCAAUGAUCUCAAAAGAUCUAGGAGUUUCCAAUACGUUUAAAAAUUAACCUUCUUUUUCAUUUUUCAUGGUGGAAAUUUGUAAAUCGUUAUUUAACUACCUUCAAAUGUUCUGCAAGUUGGAUUACGGCAUCCCUCUUCCAGUUUGUGGAAUAUUGUGUUGGGUCCUAGCCCUAAUGUCUCAUUUGGGUGUUUUAUUAAGGACUCAAUCAACUAAACUUGAAUUUUUCUCCCGUUUCAUAGAUGUCAAAGUCUAACAACUAUGGUCCUCUUAAAUCCGUUGGAAAAAGUUUUCCACAUGAAGAUGAUAUUCCACGAUUGGAUUGUGGAAAUGGAAAUCAUGCUUUACUUCCUCCACCUCCUCCAAUAAUUCUCCCUAAUCCAAGUGUUCGAAGACUUGAAGAGUUCAAGGUCACUCAAGCCAUGUUGGCAUUAAGACACAAAGAUGGAAAGUUUUUGUGUGCACACAUCUUAGAGAUAAAGUCACACAUUGACAGAUUAAGGAUGUUGGGUGUCGAUGUCUCAAGGAAGUUGGUUGCUGACUUGGUUCUUCAAUUACUUCCUGCAUCGUAUGGUAAGUUCUUUAGAUAGUACUAUAUGAUGGACCACGACGUGACCCUUAUUGAUUUAACUUAAUUGUUUAUUGUUGCUAAAUCAUAGAUGAUUUGGCGCACUGGUUGAACAAAUUUGUCUGAUAAAUCAAUAUCCUAACCUUUUGUGGACAAUGGAAACAUUAGAAGUCCAUAAAGUUUUCUCUACGUAAGAGAAAGGUUGAGUUUGAGAUAGUCUCGUGUACCAUUCCAAUAAAAUCCAUAUAUUUCUACUACCAAAAGAAGGGGUAUUGGUUACAAAGCUGCCCUGAGUACCUAAGAGAUAUAAGAGAUGGGAGAGUCAAGAUGUAUGACUCUGCUUUAGGUAAAAUCCACUAUCUAACUCUACUAAGUUCCUAUUUGGAGAUUCUUAAUACAUGAUGUGAUAAGAUUGCAUUUCGAUGUUUUGAAGGAUCGAAGAAAAUAAAGGAAUCUUAAAGGAAGGAGCGAGCUGAGUCUGAUCGCGAAGAAAUGGAUUACGAUCACAUGGAUUCGAUGAUCGGAUUAUGAGCAGCUGCCUAGAGUAAUGAUAAAUUGCUUAGGAAUAUGUAAUAGCAUCGUUUUCAUUUUCAUUGUAAGGAUAUAUUUUUCCGCAAUAAAAUAAAUUUUGAUUUUUGUCUUAUUUAUAUUUCCUUGCAAUGGCAAUUGUGAAAAGUGAUGUUUGUGUGUUUCUAUUAUAAGCAAUAUUAAAUGGAUGUGAUUCUUAGUUAUGUUAUUUAUGAUAAUGUCAUAAUUUCUAUGUAAGGAAAGAUUCCCAUCGCCCAAGUUUCAAUUGGACAGAAGCUUGGAAUCAUAUGAUUUGAAUCAUGUGAUGUAUGGAAAUCUUGGUACUUAGAAAUUUUAAGACUAAUCCCUUGACAAAGAAUCAAGUGAAGGACUAGGAGAUCGAGUUCACAAUGUUGUGCAUUGGUUAAGUCCACCAUAAAUAACAACAAGAUUAUUCGUCAUGAUUUACUAAAGGUCUAGUAGACGUGAUUAUGCUUACAAGAUUAAGUGUAAUUAUGAAUCAUUGAAAGUGUCAAUAAAUAGCAGAACGAAUAAGAAGAAUCAAUUAGGCAGAAAGAUAAAAGUUUCUCCAAUCUAAGAUAAAGGGAGAGUACUUUUGUAUCAUGUUUUAUGAUCUUCUUAAGAACCAUAUUACAAUUCAUCCUCUAAGGACACCUUAGUGCACUAGUAUGGCUAAGAAGAGGAGUCGGGAAUUGUUUAAAUGGUUAAGUCAAUAAGAUGAAUCGUACUGCGUGCCAAAAUCAAAUCUUAAAGUCAAACUCCAAGAUUGUGACUUGAGUGAUAUAAUCUCAAGUAGAAGUGUUCUUACUUUUGCAUAUUUUGGUAAGUUAUGAUGUAUUGGAUAAGACAAAGACCAACCAAUAUCAAAUGCGUGUAGGUUUUAUCUUGAUAAAGACACACGCUAACUCUUGAAUAUUUGUUUUGUCAAUAAAUGUUUCUUGAUAAGAGAAUCUUAUAUGUCAAGAGGUCAGUGGGAGUCUAAGUGAUCUUGAAAAGGUUCAAGAACUAAUAUAGAGUCAACCUAUUAUUAAAAACUAGCACACGACUUGAGGUUUGUAAUCUAUCGUGUUGGCUUAUUCUUGUUUCUGUUCCAUUCCAGUUUGGUCAACUAUGCAUGUGAGUUCUAUGAGUUCUCAUUGGGUUGCAUAGAGGUAAGGCACCUUGAUCAAUGGAAAGUACAUUGAAAGAUAGGGGUGAGCUGAUCAAUAACUUGGAAGCAAUGGUGGGACUCUUGAUGGCAAGAAAUUAAGAAUGAACAAGUUCUGUCCAUAAGAGUUUGGAUUUGUCACAAACAUUGUCUUAUGAUUAUGGUUAUGAAAAAUUCACAUGGAUAGGAGCAAAUACGCAUAAAAUCUAAGUGUCAUAAGGUUUCUCUCAUUCAUGAAAAUGAUUGCAAGGAAACGCUUUCACUAAGAGAGAUUUUGAAGAUAGCAUUAUGUAAUUUGCGUCUCUCGAAUUCGAUUAUGAUUAUGGCAUGCCUCUUCAUAGUUCGAAUUGUGGGAAAUGGAAAAUGGGUCUGAACAUUUUAGACUUAUUGUUAUAAGUUAUAGAAUUGUUUAGACAAACAUAUGGGUUGUCUAAACAAAGAUGUAUGAGUUAGGGAAGCUUAGAUAAAGUUUUAUCGAAGCAUCUCGUAUCAGAAAUAUGAACUUUGGUAAGAAAGUCAAUAAGCAUUGAUUUCUAGAUGUUCAGCUGAUUUUUGAAUACAUGUCAAAGCUAGUGAGAGCAUAAGUGUUAUGCUAGUAAGGAGAUAAUCAUCAUGUUAGUGGGAGCAUGAUUAUUAUUUUAAGAGUUGCGAGUCAGCAAUAUUAAUUAUAGAAAACAAGAGUUUUACUUUGUCAAGUUUCAAGGGUUGAAAGAUUUGUUUUGCUAUAAUUAAGGGAGAGGAUGUUAUACUUCGUUUCCAAUCUAAAAGCUUAGAUAGAGAAAAUUCAAUUGAAUUUAGUCAAAGUAAUAUUUAUUAAUUGCAUUCUCAAAGUUCGAUUAUGAUUAUGGCAUCCGUCUUCAUAGUUCGAACUUUGAGAACAUGACAAAUAGAAAUAUUGUGGCAAUAUUAUGGCAAGAAAUUGGCAAAGUAUCACGUUUUCACUGCGAAUCGUAUCUCAUAUGUUUCGGGUAUAGGAUCAAUUGCAUAUGUUGUAAUAUUCGACCGUUCUAAAAUUUUCCAGAUGCCUAGGGCAUUUAGAGGAAAAAAGGGAAUAGAACCGGAUUUGACUAAACUAAUUAAACAAAUAUUAAAGACAAUCUAAGGUUCGCCAAGGAUUGGUUGCUUCUGGACAAUUGGAAGUAUAGUCAUAGAUCGACCAUAUUGACAUUAUGAAUAGAUAAGAUUCUAUUUAAUGAGUUGUCAUAUGGAAAAUAUGGAAAUGUUUCCUUAUUGGAAGUAGGACGUUGAGAAUCUAUGUCUAGAUUAGAAACUUCUAAGCAAGAAGGAUGUUCAAAGGAAUGUAUUGUGAAUGUGAGACUUCAUGACUAUGGAAUUGUCUUGUAACAAUCUCCAAUAGAGCAUUUUGUAAUUUCAUUGGCAAAGUCUUGGUGACUUUGGCAUUGUGAGAUUACGAAAGGACCGUUGUAUAAAAUGUUAGAAUCUAACAUAUUCUAGUAGUGGCGAGAAUUUUGUAUUCUUGCACUAAUCGGUUAGGAAUUGUGAAAUGAGUAUCAUUGGAAAUAUGUUCAUUUGAUCUAUUUCACAAAGUAAAGACCAUAGGAAAACAUAGUGUGUAUGCUAAGAGCAUGGGACAACUGUUGUUAUAAUUCAAGUAAGAAGUCGAUUACCCGAAACAUAUACAAUGAAUAACGUGUAAUCAAUAUGGUGAAUAAAUAAAAGGAGUUGUAUUUAUACUCAAAAGUUUGAGGACAUAUUGGAUUCGAUUAUUAUUGUGUUUCACUUUGCAUGUUUUCACUUCCUGAAUAAUAAGAUUAUUCGAACGUUCCACAGUCGCUCAUACUUUGGGAGUAGGUAUGAAAGAAGAUUGUCAUGAAUUGGUUUGUAGAUUGUCUAAAGCGUAUUAGACAUAGCAAAGGUUUGUUGCAACGUUCAUGAGUGCUUAUGAACAUGAUUUGAGUAUUGGAUUAAACCUACACUCACUUGGAUCGCUUCAUGGAUUUUAUCACGAGUGAUUGGUGAGACGAUAAUAUCUUAUAUUCUUGAAACCGAGAUGUGUAAGUUGUAUCUUGUGACUUGGAUACACAUUGAUAAUAUGUAAGCGCACCAGUAACUUGGUGUUAUAAAACGUAUUGUUGUGUGUGAUUCGGCGAGUAAGUACAAGCGAUCAUUGAGUCAAAGUUUAUCCAUUACUUUUACCCAAAGUAGGAUAAAAGCGAUAUCUGUGGGCCCCUCGAUGAUUUAGUGAUGACAAACGUAAAUGCUCGACCGGGCUAGGACUAAUUUGAUUUGUUCAAUUAGUCAGUCGCCGUAAACCAGAAAUCGGGACACAACACAUAGACUGAGAGAAUGAUUUCAAUCCAUGUCUCACGUCUAUAUGAUAUCUAGGAUGGAGGAAUAUAUGAUCCCUUAUCUAAAGGACGUGUAUCUGAUAAGAUCAGAUUUAACAGCGGUUUUUGAAAGCUACAAUUGUUGGUCAGGAUCUGAAGUCAUACGCAUAAUAGGUAUUAGACUUAUCCAAGUGGGAUACUGUUGGAUUAGUGUCUAAGCCCAUAAAUAUUAUUGGUAUGUACUUGACCCGAUUGCGAGCAUGGUCCUUUUGGGUUGCCUUCACCAAAGCAACUUAAUAGGAUGAUUUAUGGAGAAAAAGAUUAAUUAUGAUUUAUUAAUAUAUUAUAUGAAUAAUAUAUUAAAAGAGAAAUCAGAUUGUUUAAUUAAUAUUAGUCAAUAAUUAAUUAGGAAAUUAAUUUUGUGGCUAAAAGACUUUAAUUAAACUUGGGGGACUAAUAUUGUAAUUAUAAGAUAAUUGCAAUUGGGCUAUGGAUCACCUUGGAACAUAGGUUGGACGAAUUCUAUGGGAAGCCCAUAAGGAAUUCGUCCGAGGGGUGUUCCAAAGGGAGUCCAUGGGCUGCUUAGGGCCUAAGCAGUCAGAUUAGGGUUUCCUAGGUCAAAACCCUAAUAGCCUCACAUAUUUAAGGACCCCUAGGGCACCAAAAACGGGGCUAAGGUUCCCUUAGGAUUCUUGGACGAAUUUUGGUGCCUCCUUCUCUUCUCUAAAGUCAUCCUCUUGCUCUUGGUGUUUGCGAGCCAUUAGAGGUGUGACAUUUGUGAAACUAAGCUUUCAAAAGUCAAUUACAAGGAGGAAUCGAGAUUGUUAUUACUACAUAACAAUCAAGGUAAGAUCUAAACCCUAUUAUUAUGUUAAUAUCGAUUAUCACAUGCUAGAUCUAGGGUUUAUGGCUUUGGAUGAUUAUUGCAUGUUCAUUAGACAAACUAGAUCCAAAGCUUUAGGGUUUGCAUGUACACCAUAGGAAUGAUGUAGUGCUCAUAACCCAUCAGUGGUAUCAAAGCCUAGGACGGUUUAUUCUAAUGUAUUUGAUGCAAAGUUUUUUCUUUCAAAGCUGAAAAUUUUCUUUUUUUUGAAUUUAGCCAGUUUCACGUCGUGAACAUGUUGUUCAUGUCGUGAACCCAGUCUGACUGCAUGAUUUCGAAAAUCUUGCCUUAAUUUGUUUUGGAUUAUUACCAUAAAUUACGUUAUUCAAAUAAAAAUCAAAUUUUUUGUUAUGGUAAUUGAUAUCUUAAUCAAAUUAAUGGAUAAUUGUCGAAAUUAAGAUAAUUAUUUGUUUUAUUAGAUAAAGAUUGAUUAUUUGUAAUUUUGAUUUGAAUUAUCUUGUGAAAAAAAAUUAAAUUAUGUCAAAUUUAGAUAAUUCAAAUUAUUUGAUUAAUUUAAUUAUUUGUAAUUUGAUCUAGAUAGUUUUGAAAAGUUUCAACACUUGCCCUCAAGUUUUGGAAUUUAAAUUUUUUGAUUAAAAAAUUUAAUUUUGAAAUAUUUAAAUUCUAAACCAUAAUGAUUUGAAAUGUUUCAAAACUUGCCCUCAAGUUUUGGAAUUUAAUUUUUAAUUAAAAGGUUUAAUUUUUAAAUGUUAAAUUCUAAAACCCUAAUUUUGAAAAGUUCAAAUUGCACGCUUAUAGUUUUAUUAAAUUAAUUAAGUGUAUAAUUAAAAGAAAGUUAAUAAAUCCAUAAUGAUAUGGUUUACAUUUAAUUAAAUUAAAAGUGUAAUUUGUUAAAUUAGACCACAUAGUAUUUUAAAAGUGUAAAAUACACCUUAUACUAUAUAUAACAUUAAAAGUCUAAUAUUAUAUAUGUAUAACCUAAACUGGUAGUCUUACCGUUAGUAGGCCUCAUUCACGAAACCGAUCUAUAAGUGAGGUAUAAGGUUAUGGCCUAUAAAAUGGCCGUUUAAUGGGUGUUCACUCUCACCCACCGCUUCCUUGAUUGGUGGAGGGUCGUUAGCCGAACGGGUAGGAUAGGGCAAACCCUCUCCUCAUUAAAAGUAUAAUGAAUGUUAAAGUAACUAAAUAUUUUACAAAAUUUUCAAUCUUAGUUAUUUUAGGCAAAAGUGAAUUGAUGCAAUUCCAUGAAAUUACACUUUGUACCCUUGCUAAGAUGUUAGUGGAGCGUGUGUGGUUAACCGGCACACUAAAUGGGUUCUAAGCAAAGGUAGCAAAGGGUGACUCGAUGUUCCACAGACUGUUCCAUCAGGUACAUCAAGCUUAAUCUUUGUAAAUACCACAUAACACUCGAUGAUAUUCCCGAUAGAAACCAAGCAACUCUAAAUAUCCUGAAUCUCAGAUAAUAUCCUCAAAAAUUUUCCAACGUGUCACCCAAAAUCUCACACUGACAUACUAUCGGACAUCUCAACUAUCAUGUAGUAGCCAUGACUCUCAGUCUGAGAAUAAUGAACUAUCACAAUCCUCAUCUUCAACUCCCCAACCAAUGUUCCAUCAUGAGAAUUAUCAUGAGAGUAGAGACCUCACCCCCACACUCGAUAUCCAUCAUACACAACGAGUGUCAUCGGCCCAGUAUACUCCUCUUGAUCACCCGACACUGCUCCUAAUAUAUGCCCUACUAUAAACAAAUAGGGUAUAUCCUUGUCCUUGACCAUCUCAGUCCCCAAUGAUGAACCUCUCAUGCUAUGAUAUUACCUUGCGGCAGACAUACUUCCCAGAUACUCUGGUGAAACAUCGCAACCAACACUACCCCACAGGGUUUACCUCCAAGCUCAGAAACCGGAAAAUCAAUAUCUCUUCUGCUUCUCACAGGAAACGGAAAUAGAACAACUCUGGUCACAGAAAGUGACAUCUCCACUAUCGGCCGAUUGCUCAACUCAUACUGUAAUCCUCCAUAAAGCACCAUCUCUACUCAUCCUUACGUCUUGCGACUCCAACUGGCAUCUCACCAAAAAUCUCUCGGAAACUCGUUCAACAUGGCCCUCUGGCCCCACACUCUAUCAUAUCGGAUCUCAUUCUAAUCAAUCACAACAGGAUAACUGGUAAUACCAGAAGCACUAACCGCCACGAGUCCAUGUACUCGAACCAUGUUAUCUUCUCUCAAUCUGCUACUUAGAACCUAUGGAACUCCCCCUGUUUCGAGUAUGGGUCCUAUGCUAUCAAUAGUACGGGCCCAUACUACCUGCCACAUCUACCCUUACUUUCCACAUGGAUUGUCCCAGAUUUCCUAAGUGGCUGCUCAACCUUCUCGAUCACCAAUCCCGUUAAACCUGGUCGCUCCCCAGAGAAUACUCUAAUCUAUCAACGUACUCACCUGACUAAGGUCACUCCCUAGGCUCUUCCUAGGUUCUCACACUUCUCUGCCAUCAACUACUGAAGAACUUCUUAUGAUGCCAGCCAUCUACCUCCUGAAUAUCGUCAUAUUCACUUAGUAGCUGACUCCCAUCAUCGACAGUUCCACAAAGCACGAAGCAAGCAGCAUUCGAGCAUCGAAUAAUCUUCACCAACACGUAAAACCACUCUAGGUUACAACUCUAUUUGCUCUACUCACACUCAAAAGGUGUCACCGAAGGGUGUACACCUUUUGAUGCAAUUCCAUGAAAUUACACUUUGGACCCUCCGGUCCGUUCUCAGUGUACACCCUUCGGUCACAUGGCUCAUUGCACCCUCCGAUCCGGUCUCAGUAACACAUAAUAUACCAUACAUAUAUCACACAGACAAGAUGCAUAACUCAAGUAACCACAUCAGACCUUUCGGUCACUCAUAGAUACUACUUAUGGUAAGUAUAGUGAGAAGACUACCUUGCAAGCAAGCAAGCAAUCAUCCUCGAACUCGAAUCUCGAACUAGCCACCGCCUAACACAUAGGGUAAAUAUCUCUAAUUAAUACUCGGUUCUUCACUCUAAGUAACCAAAUGUUAUUCUUCUCUCUCUAACUCAUGAAUGAGGUAAAAGACCAUUUUACCCCUCCAUGGUCUCCAUUACUCAUGUUGACCAAACCCUAAAGUCAACAGAAGUCAAACUCAAGUCAACAGUCCAUGUUUGACCCGAUUCGUCGAGUGCACUCUUGUGACUCGUUGAGUCCCCUCGUUUCCUCAUAAUUCUCAAGAAAGUCGAGCUCAACUCGUCCAGUUGACCCCCAACUCACCGAGUUAUCACACGAUCAAGCUUAUGGGGACAAACCCUCACCGACUCGUCAAGUCAGGCCAUGGACUCGGCGAGUCCCUUCGAUCUGAUUUCUCAUUCAGACGAUUUAAGGCAAAUCUAUAACUCAAAACACUAGAUCUACCAUCCUAAGGCUCGAUUGUCACGUAAAGCUUUGAUCUUUACACUCAUGUAUGGUGGUUUUGCGCCAAACUACCAAUACAUGUUCUCAUAAGGUCUUAAACACAAUACUCCUCAUAUGGAUGAAUAAAUUUGGGACUUUUGGGCUCUAGGGACCUCACAAAGUCCAGAUGUGAGGUUUAACCCUCAAGAUAACUUAGUAUUCUCGAAUUCCCAAAUAAUAGGUGAUGAAAACCCUAACUUCUCAACUCAUGAGAUCUAACCAAAUAAAAGGGAAAGGUUCAAGCUUUUUACCUUCCUCUUGAAGCUUUGGACAAAAUGGCCUGAACCCCAACAACUCCUUCUUGUUCCUUGCUGAAUAAACUCCUCUUCCUCCUCAAAGAUGCACUAAAAUCCUUCAAGGCUAGCUUGGAGACUCUCUUAGCUCACUACACUCGGUUAGGGUUUUAAACAGAAGGGUAAGGCAGCUGGUGAGGCAGAAAUGGGGGCAUAAGUUCCCUUAUAUAUGCCGCAAACCUGGCAAAUUAGGGUUUCUCUGCCCAGCACCUACUAGGCGAGUCGGCCCUCUGACUCGUCGAGUCCAUUCAUUUAACCUUCACGGACAACUCGACUCUACUCGACGAGUUGAACUCACAACUCGUCGAGUCACUGCAUAAAUCUCAAAAAUUAAAAACACAAUAAUAUACAUGAAUGUCUGGAUGUUACAUUAUGUGGAAUGCAUUUGUAACAUCCCAAAAAUUCAAAAAUGAAGAUAUUAAAAAAAAUCAGAGUAUAGGUUUUACCAAAAGGUUUUAUUUAUAAUCAUUAGUAAAUAAUAAAAUCAUCCUUUCACAUGAAGUCAACAUAAUCAUAUUAAAAAUGUAGAAACUAAGUUUUGUUUGGAAAAGUAUAACAUAACAUAAAAUAGAUAAACCAGAUGUCAUUCCCCUUCGAAUAUGUCUAUAUAUCCUAGUCAAGCCAGCUCCUUGUCCUUUGAAUCUAAAGGACCUGCAAAUAAAAACAUAAAGCAACAACUAUAGCCCUAAGGUUAAGUGNNNNNNNNNNNNNNNNNNNNNNNNNNNNNNNNNNNNNNNNNNNNNNNNNNNNNNNNNNNNNNNNNUAUAUAUAUAUAUAUAUAUCAUAUGUAUUUCUCAUCAUACACAUAAACAUCACAUAGUAACCAUAUACACAGUAAAUGUAACAUAUGAUAGCACACAUAACCCUAACCCAGUAGAUUCCCUUCCAGAGGUCUAUAUCUACUUGACCUAAUAUUGACCAUUUCCAUCUGAGAGGUCUGUCAUGGUCCUACAUCCUUAUAAUCUAACUAUAUUCCCUCCAAGAGGUCUAUCUCUAUUCAACAUGCACAUAUCACACAAUCCAUACGAUAAGUAAGUUCAUGACAACUUACCUGAAUAUCUGAUGAGGUAUUUCCCACACACUGAGCUAGGUGGCACAAAGCUUCUUCGAGUGUGUGUGUGUGUGUAUAUAUAUAUAUAUCCUUAGUUUUGUAAUUAAGGUAUAAUUCUUACUUCCCUCUUACAUAAGUCAUGGCUUAGUUUUUUCUUCUUUAUUUUUUUAGAACGGUGGUAAGUCAUAGACUAAAGAGUUAUAGCCUUGCUCACUUGCAAGCUGAAGUUUUGGAGUUGCUCAAACUCCAAAAACAUGAAGUUUUUUUUCUUUAAAAAUGUGAAGAACUCAAGAAAUAUUCUAGAUCUAUGCAUAAAAAGGAUAAAACAAGUCCCGAAGAUUUACAAUGCAGAAUCAAAGAGUUGAAGGUGAUUUCUUAUUUUGGAGAUGAAAGAUAAUUACCAAGAUGAGAACUUAUGAACUCCUUAAAUCACCACAACCUUCAAAUUUUUCUAGUAAUGCUCAAGGUGGCUAGCAUUUGGAGAAUUGAAGAUGGAGGCUGAGGUUAUGAGAAAACCUAGUAGUUAAUGAUGCUUAUAUAGAUCCAAAACCUAGAACUUAGGGUUUUAUGCACAAUUCAGUGUCACGCCGCAAUCACUUAUAAUUACCACGUCGUGGGAAAGAAAUUCUCCCAGUCCAAAACAACUUCAAACUUGCAUAGAAUCUUUCAUACCUGAAAUUGGGUGUUAUAGUUCUCCCCUAUUUAUCUGGAUUUCGUCGAUGAAAUUUGUCUUGGUUAUAGAGCUGAAAUAAUUCCUAAAAGCAAAUCCACCAUUCCUUUCCCUAAAACUAUUUACUGAAUUGACGAAACAACAAAGGAGUUCUUGAUACCACUCAGAAACUAAACAUCGUCCCCAUUGAACCUAACCAUAUGAACUGUCACCAAUUUACUCAACGAUAAACUUCAUAAAAAUGAAAAUCCAAGUGUUUGAAACAUAGAAAAUCAAACCGUCAGACCAACUAUCAACUCUCAGAUAUACAUAUCAACUAAUCCAUUAUGAUGAGAAGUACCCUACUACGAAGAAACGAGUAUGCGAAAAUAUUGUUGGAUUAAUGUCUAAGUCCAUAACUAUAUUUGGUAUGUACUUGACCCGACCCGGCAUGGUCCAUUUGGGUUGCACUUCACCGACACAAUUUAUAUGGAUAAUCUUUUGAGAAUAGUAUGUUUAUGAUUAAUAUUAAUAUAUUAUAAGUUCUAAUAUAUUAAUAUGGAAUCAUAUUAUUUAAUUAGUAUUGAUCAAGAAUUAAUUUAUAAUUAAUUAAGUGAUCAAAAGGAACUAAUUAAAUAUGGACUCUUAUAUAUAUGGAAUGGGCCAAGUUCAUUUAGGUUGGGCUAAGCUUUCAUGGAUAGUCCAUGGAGUGUUUAACCCAUGGAUCCUAGGAAAUGAAAGGUCAUGGGUAUUAGGGUUUAACCCUAAUCCUCCAUACUAUAUAAAGAUGUCUUUGGUUGGUGAAAUUGGCACUAAUGUGAUACACUAAGAGGGCUAGCCGAUUUCACUAAGAGAGAACCAAGUAUUCAUAUUCUCUAAAGUCUUCCAAGGUGUCUUGGUGAUUUGUGAUUCCACUUGAGGCUUCCACACUAUUGGGGCUAAGCUCUUAAAGCUUGAAGACAUCAAGCUACAUCAAAAGGUAUGUCUUCUAACUAGUACUUUGUAGAUUAAGAACAUCAUAAUAUGCUAGUUAGGAUUAAAGCCUUGGAAAGUUCUUAUUUGCAUGUAUAAUAGAGAAAACAUAGAUCCAAGGUUUAUAGGGUUGCAUGUACACCAUAGGAGUGUUAGAAUGCUCAAAACCCAACAGUGGUAUCAGAGCCACGGGUUGUUUUCUGUUAUAUUGAUGCAAAUAUUUUAUUUUCAAAGUUGAAAAAAAAAAAAAAAAAAAAAAAUGAAGUUUGUCAAAUUUUAAGAUAAUUACUUGUUCUUGUGAAAAACUAAUUAUUUGUAAAAUUUGAAUAAUUUGCUUUAUGAGUUGAAUUAGGUCAAAUUUAAUAAAAGAUAAAAUAAUAUGAUUAUUUUAUUAGUUUUAAAAGUUUGAUCUAAAGAGUUUUAUUUUUUGAAACCUCCAUAAGUUAUGGAUAUGAAAAGGUUUUAAAAAAAAAAUUGAUUCAAAGUUUUUUUGGAGUUACAAAAUUUGGUGUUAAUGUUUUAAAGGAUUCCAUAACUUAAGAAUAAGUUAUGGAUCACCAAAAGUUUUUUGUGUUACCUUGUUUUAUGAGUGAAUUUAGAUUAAUGAAUAAAAUUAUGUGAUAGUUGGUUUUAAUCCAAAUUAAUCUAAGAAUUGAUUCUAAAAUGUGUUUUUGUAACUUGUCCUCAAGUUAUAUGAAAAGUCACAUUUAAGAAUCAUAAAACUCAUAAAAAUUGGCAAAGGUUACAAAAAUGAAGAGUCUAGUUCUAAUUAAAUGGUUUUAUGACUCCAUAACUUGUCCUCAAGUUAUGGAGGACCAAGAGUCUCUUCAUUUAAUAAAAUAAAAUAAAAUAAAAAAAGGUGUAACCUUAAUUAAUUCCAUAAGUUAUAAAAUAAAGAAAAGUUAAUUCUUUUAUUAGUUUAAAGUCUUCCAUAACUUGUCCUCAAGUUAUGGAACUUGAAGAGUUUUUGGAUUAAAACUACUUUAAACACAUAAGUUAUGGAAUUAAUUAGUUUUGAAUAGUUUCAAAACUUGCCCUCAAGUUUUGGAAUUUGUAAAGUUUUCACUUAUGAAUACUUUAAUUCCAAGUUAGCCCUUAGAAUUUUAAAAGUUAAAAUUCAACCCUUAUACUUUAUAAUAUUAUAAGUUAAUAAUAUAUAUAUGUAUAAGAGUAAAGUCAGUCUUACCGCUAGUACGCCUCAUUCACGAAGCCGGUCUAUAAGGUGGGUAUAAGGUUGUUGCCUAUAAAAUGGCAACUUAAUGGGUGUCCACUCUCACCCACCGCUUGCUUGACUGGUGGAGGGUCGUUAGCCGAACGGGUUUGACAGGACUAGAAUUCUCCCUUCAUUAAAAGUAUUAAUGAUAAUACUAAGUAACUAAACUCUUAAUAAUACCCAAUCUUAGUUACUUAGGAAAAAUGUGAAUAAGGUGCUAAUCCAUGAAAUUACACUUUACACUUUGUCUAAGUCGUUAGUGGAGCGUGUGUGGUUAACCGGCACACUAACUUGGACUUAACAAGGUAGGUAAAGGGUGACUUAAUAUUUAUCAUAGUAUCGAUGGAGCGUGUGUGGUUAACCGGCACAUCGAUUGAGGGGUAAUUUAUUAAGGGUACCAAGUGAUUUGCAUGGUUACUUCACACCUUGUUUUGUGAUCCUCGGCAUCCCAGUCACAAAACCUGAAGGGCACACUCGAGAUUGAAACAUGCCUUUGAAAAGUUCAAUGAAUCUCAAAGAUCUAGGAGUUUCAAAACCAAUUAAAACCUAAUAAUACAUUUCGUUUAUCUUGGUGGAAAUUGGUGAAUCGUCAUUCACCUACCUUCAAAUAUUUUAUAGCUUGGAUUACGGCAUACCUCUUCUAAGUUAUAAAAUAGUUUGUUGGGUCCUAGCCUUAAUAUUUCAUAUUGGGUGUCAUAUUAAGGACUUUAAAUCAACUAUCUUGAAUAUCUCCCAAAAGAUGUCUGGUUUAGACACCUAUGAUCUUCCCAAAUCUCUUGAAACAAGGUUUCCUAAUGAAGAUGAUGUCCCAUGGAUAUCAUACUUCUUCACCUCUUCAAAUUAUUCUCCCUAACCCACAAGUUCUUGAAAAGUUUAAGGUCACUCAGGCCCUAUUGGCAAGGCAAGGUCUAGGUGUGGUCACAUCUUGGAGAUGUAGUCACAUAUUGACAAGCCGGGAGAGUUGGGUGUCAAAGUCUUGAGAAAGUUGGUGGUUCAACCACUUUCUAAGUCACAUAGUGAGUUCCUUUGGGACACCUAUGAAACAGACUAUGACAAGACCCUUAAUGAUCUUAUCUAUUUGCUAAGAUCAACUUCCUAAAACUUUAUGGACAUUGACAAUGAUGACAUUGGAUAUCCAGUAAAGCAUUCUCUUCCCAAUGGAAAGGGAUCGGCUAUAGUCAACUCGGUUGACCAAAUGGUAAAGAGAAAAGCUAAGUCUGUGAUAGUCCUGUGUACCAUUAUCAAAGGGUCCAUAUGUUUGUAUUGCCAAAGAAAGGGCAUUGGUUGCGAAGCUGCCAAAUUUACCUAAGGAUGUUAAAGUCAAUAAGUUUGACUCUACUUCAGGUAAAAUCCACUAUCUAACUCUGUUAAGUUUCUAUUCUGAGAUUCUUGAUACAUGAUGUGACCGGGUCGCAUGGUGAUGGUUUAAGAAUCAAAGGAAAGUGAAGAAACUUAAAGGAAGAAUAUGCUGAAUCUGAUCGCAUAGAUGGAUUUCUAUCGCAUAGUUUGAAAAAUCGGAUUCUUGAGCUACUUCUUAGGAGUUAUGAGAUAUUGCUUAGGAAUAGAUAACAACAAGUUUUCAUAUGGAUUGUAAGGAUAGUUUUUCCGCAAAGUUUUAAAAUAAAAGGAAAUUUUUGAUUUUAUUUAUUUUAAAAUAUCCUUACAAUGGCAUCUGUGGAAAUUUUUGUUGCUUAUAAGAUUCCAUUAGUAGCAAGAGUGGAAGUAUGAAAUUGAUUCUUUCAUUUGUGGUAAUGUCUAAAUUUACCAAAUAAGGAAAGAUUCUCAUCACCCAAGUUUCAAUUGGACCGGAACUUGGAAUCAUGCAAGUUGUAUAGCAUGAUGAAUGAGAACUUUCAAGUUUUGGAAAAUUAAGACUAAUUACUUGUUCACAUGGAUGUGUGAGUCAAGUAAAGGACUUAGGGAUCGAGUACACAUUCUUGUGCACUGAUUAAGUCCACCACUAAAGAUCGAUAAGAAGAAUCAAAUAAGGCAGAAGGAUAAAAGUUUCUCAAAUCUGAAAAGAUGGGAGAGUACUUUAGUAUCAGUUUUGUGAUCAUCUUAAUGAUUAAGAAACCAUAUCAAAAUUAGUUCUCUAAGGAAAUCUUAGUGCAUUCUUAUGACUAAGAAGAGGAACUUGAAUUGUUGAAAUGGUUAAAUCAAGAAGAUGAGUCAUACUUCGUUCCAAUACAAGUCUUAGAGUCAUACUCCAAGAUUGUCAUUUGAGUGACAUGUCUUAAAGAAGGUUUAAAACACUUGUCAAAUGUAAGAGUAAAAGUUUUCUACUCUUGUACAUUUGAAAUUGGUAAGUUGUGAUGUUUUGGAUAAAACAAAGACCAACUUAGGCCAAUUGGGUAAAGUGUUUUUCUUGAUUAGAAUCCGCACUAUCUCUUGGAUGUUUGACAAGGGAGUCUUAUAUGUCAAGAGGACAGUGGGAGUCUUAAAGGUCUUGAAAGUCUCAAGAAAUAAUCAAGAAUAAAACCUAAAGUUCUUCACUAGCACACGACUUGAGGUUCAUAACCUAUCGUGUUGACAUAUUCUGUGCCCAUUCC